RNAcentral lists this long non-coding RNA (70209 nucleotides) under Ananas comosus (pineapple). Its description in RNAcentral is "long non-coding RNA (ACOM_LNC015823)". The record is from RNAcentral. Lineage: Eukaryota; Viridiplantae; Streptophyta; Magnoliopsida; Poales; Bromeliaceae.
AUCAAAUAAAGUGUAUGGUGGAUCUAACAUCAACAGCGGAGAUCGAAGAGGGAUUGAUCGAGAGCACGCACCAUUUUUCCGCGGGAAACCGCGAGGCGAUGAGGAGAUCCGGAGAUCGACGAGGCGAAACCUAGAGGAGGAGAAUUUUGAAGGAGAAUGGGGGGAGGAGGAGGCGCGAUCCGGUGACCCUUUUAUUUGUUUUUAUUUUUAUUUAUUCAUUUUUUUCGCUUGGAUGAAUCGUCGGGAGGAGCUACGAUGGCAGAGAGGUAAAUAUAGCGACGACUCCUCUUCUUUUUUCUUUUUUUUUUCUUUCUUUUUUUUUUUUUUUUGGCUUCGAAAUGAAGCACGGUGCUCCCGGGUCAAACCAGGCCAGUGGUUUAAAAAGAAGUAAGGGGAAAAAAACAAACGGAAACAUGCACAUAGGCACAUAGCAGUUAUUUGUUAUUACUAAAUUGCCCCGCUCACUGUCUCAACGUGGAGCCGUGGAGGCAAGAGUGUGACUGUGUGAGAAAUUAUCGCCUGCUCCUUGUGUAUCUACAUAUUUCCUGCACCAUAUCUAGUAGGUUUGGUUCCUCAAAAGAGUGAAAAAAAAUUUCAUUUUUUUUUUUUUUCAGUUUUUCGCAUAUUUGUUUUCGAGAAAAACUAGUAUCUUUGAAAAAUCAUUUUGCAAAUUUUAUAAAAAAACUAGCAUUUUUAUUUUUUUAAAAAAAUCAAAUACUAAUUUUUUUUAUAAAAUAUGGAAAAUGAGUUUUCAAAAAGCUAAUUUUCUUUCUAACCAAAUAGGCAAAAAACUGAAAAAGAAAAAUUUUAUGAAAAACUAUUUUUUUCCACACUUUUUCGAAAAAUCAACAGCCCAUAAGUGAAUUAGCUCUUCCGAAUCUAAUAUAGAACAUUCAAUAAAUUGUCUUUCAUGAGGCCUUCGUUAGAGUUAAGAAGAGCGCGACUCACGGUACACUGGAUGCGCGCAACAAUUUCUAAAGCGUGUAAGGCUUGUGGGCCCCGCAUGUCAUCUCGCGUCCACGGUGUAUACCCGUUACACAGAAAAUUCUUAAAUACGAAGUACCGAGCAUGCGUGUCCUUCGGCCCAAUUGCAUCCAACAGCUCCACAUGGCUUCUGGGCCUACAGGGAUGAAGAAAAGCCCAUACUGGCCCAAUUACACUACAGCCCACUCAAUCAACAGCUCUUUUACUUCAGGAACCACAUUUUGACAUACAAAAAUAAAAAAAUAUUAUAUAUAUAUAUAUAUAUAUAUAUAUAUAUAUAAUAAAUAUAUAUGGGUAGUCAAGGUUAUGCUUCUAUGACAGCAAAAAAGCUGUUGUAAAUAGAAAAAAGAUGUUACGCACUGUUUGGAUGAGAGAAUAAGAGAGAAGAAAAGAGAAAUAAAGAACAGAAAGAAACAGAACUAACAAUUUCUCAGACGAGAAAAGAGAGAAAAAAGAAAGAGAGAUUUUGAUAGUAUUAACUAAUUAUAAUUCUGACGCAGGAACACAAAUAACAAUUCCGAUCCCAAAGAACAGAGAUAGAGAUCACAAAGAGGCCGUAAAUGAGUGAAUUAUAGAAAGAUAUAAGGGAAGAUAAGCAGCUAAAGGAGAGACGAUUUAGAGAUAGCUCAUUGCGCAAAUGAAAAAGUAUGGGGCAGACGAACUAUUUAGAUAAUUUCAGCGUAGAAAACUUACCUGCAUUUUGACAGCUUGGUUCCUUAUCUGGAUUAUGUACAAUAUGUCUCAACUCUUCGACUUCUCAGUAUCGUAGGAUCUAUUCAUGCAAUGAAUCACAAACAAAGAAAUAGAAACUCCGAGCAAGAUAUGGCCAAAGCCAAUGCAAUCAAGUUCCCUCAAAGCUACUUGUAAGGGAAUGAUGCGGCAAUGUCUAUGUUGUUCCAAAAAUCUUUUUGAAUGUAAUAUCAGGACGAAACAAACAACAAAAAGAUCUUUUAUCAACCAUAUUCUAGCAAGAAAUUAUGAUGUUGAGCUCCCCUUUCUUCUCCUAUUAGUAGCAGUCUUUUUAACAGUUAAAGGUCUCCCAGCUGCAACUUCACUGGUCUUCUGAUGCUGUUCAUUCACAGGUUUCUCAUCAGUAGUUCCCCUCAAGCUAACCUCCCUCCGCAUCCUUAAUAUUUCACCCUUUGCUGAAGCUAAUUCAUCUUCAAGCUUUUUAGAUCUCUUCUCCAAAUUCUCUCUCUCACUCCCUAACCUCAUAAUAAGUUUUUGAGCAUCCUCUAUAUUUUCCUGUGCGUCCUUUGCUACUUUCUUCUGUUCAUUAAGUGCCUUUAGUAGCAUCUCUUUCUCUGCUUCAAGAUUGCCAGUUCUCAAAUUCGUGUUUUCUAACUCCUUAGAGAGCAAUAAUGCACCCUUAUUCAUCUCAUCAAGUGAUUUAGUAGCCUCGUCUAAGUCUGAUUCGAGAGCUUUUCGUGCUUCAGAAUCUCUUAGCAAUUGUUUUCCUAAAAUCUCAAGUUCUCUGCUUACCGUAGCAACAACAUUUCUUUCUUCUUUCAACUCCUUUGUUGUUGAUUCUAGCUUCUUAUAGAUUUCCAAUAAUUCCUUCUUUAGGUCAUCACGAUCGUCUGUCAUAGCUUUCAAUUGAUUAGACAUUGCUCCAAUUUCCUCUUGUCUGUUUUUGAGAACCUCCUUAAUUGAUGCCAGCUCGUUAGAAAGAGCUUCUGAUGUAGACUUUGCCUCCCCCAGAUUAUUCGUCAAAAUUUCUUUUGCUUCAAUAAACUCGCUUUGAAUUUUCGAGAGCUUGGACUUUAGUUCUUCAUAGGAAGUUUUCGUUUCAUUGAGUUCCCUAGAAAGUUUUGAAGACUCCAGUAUAGUAGCUCCCAAUGCCUCUUCAGUGGAUUUAAGCUCAUCUUUCAAUUUUCUCACACUUUCUAUUUCUCUCUCUACUGCUACUUUUAAAUCAUCCCUUUCUUUUUUCAAAACUUUAAUCAAUUCAUGGUCAUUGCUUGCUUCACUUAACGCAAAAGCGAGCUUUCCUUCGAGUUCAUAGAGUUGACCAUCCUUCUUAGCUAAAAGCUCUGAAUCAAGGUUUGCUCUUCUUUCAGAAGAGGACCUCAAUUUUUCAUAAUCUUCCACAAGACCAUGAAUUUUUUCCUCAAUCUCACUGUUUGCUGCAUGCAAAUAUUUUAUUUUCUCAUUCAAAGAAUCAAUUGAAGACGUCUUCGCACUUAGUUCCUCUCUGUUUGUUGAAAUCUCUUCCUUCAAUUGUUCUAUCGUGGAAUUUGCAGUUUCAAGAUUCCCUUUACUCUGAACAAACAUAGAGCUUAGGCUUUUAUAAUCUUUUUCCUUACUCUCAAGUGAUAACUUGAGUUCACCAAUGUUCUUUUCCUUGUCAUUUAUCUCUAAGCUAAGAAGGCUUACUUUAUCUUGUAACACAUCGAUAGCAUCGAUCUUUUCUUUGAUUUUUGAUUCAAGUAUCCUUUUAUCUUCUCCAGCUUGUGUGAUACUGCUUUCAAGUCGACCAAUUUCUGCUUUCAGCUCCUCAGCAAGUUUUAUCUCUCUCCGUAGUUCUUCACCCAAGGCUACACAAGUGCUUUUUGCAGAGGACAACUGGUUUAACAGAGAAGCUUCCUCCUCCUGAAAUUUCCUGGCUUGCUUCUGUUGUUCUUCUUGCAUAUUCAAUAACCUUGUCUCAUAGUUUUCCUUCAUUGAAGAUGCUGCUGCUUCAUCUUUGGCCAGUUUGGUUUUCAUCUGCAUCGGAUAAUUAAAUUAGAAAAAAAGAAAGGCGGCAAAAAUGUUCUAAAUUAUAUCUAUUUCUUCUACCUUAAUGAUUACAAAAUUAGGAAUCUUUCAUCAAAUUUCUUCCUAUUUUAAGAGAGCUGAGGGCAUCCUGUGUAUAAAUUGUUUCUUGUUCUUUUUUUAUGACACAAUUAAAGUGUCGCUUAGCUCGCCUUUGUCAAAAAACGGACAUCAUCAAAUGGUGCUAAAUUUUAGAGCAACAUGCAGGAGGAGGGAAAUAAGAGACCCUAUCUUGCUUCUCUUUAAAGUAACCCUUUUAGACCAUAACACAUAUAGUUCAAACCAGGAAUCAAAAAGAUAAGUGCUGAAUUCUGAAAACGAAAGAAAUAUUACGGAGUUUUCUGAUUUUGAUGAUAAAAUUUGGAUAGCUUAAGAAGAGAGAACAACAUAGUUGCAAUGACUGUUGAAUCUCCAGAUAAAAGGUCCACAGUAACCCUUACUCAUCUAAAGAUAAAAAGGCUUUGACAGUAAUCAGUAAACCUUUCCCUCCCCUCCAGCAGGAAAGAAACACUGUUUUAGCAUAUAAUGUACUUCGUUUUCAUAAAAAGGUAAUUGGUCUAUUCAGGAAUAAUAGAACAUCCAAUUAAUGCAUUAACAGUUAUGUGAUAACAAAUUCAAAGCUCAUUUUGGUAAAAGAACAUUGAAAAGAUAACAAAUUCAAAGCUCAUUUCAGUAAAAGAACAUUGAAAAGAAAAUCCAGAUUUUUUUUUUAUAACUAUGUAUGGGACCCUAAUUCAGCUUUCUAAAGGAUAUAAUGCAUUGACACCUCGUAUCAAAUCUGGCCCUCAAUGUAGCUGGAGAUCAUCAAAUACUAUUUGAGAAGUUUUGAGAAAUUAAGCAGCAGAAGCUCAUUAGUAAAUUAUGCCUGUUUUAUAUGCUUUAUUUUAGGAAAGGAGAAAAUUACAGACAUACGUAUCCACCUAUGAUAAAUUGAUCAUAAAAGUACAUAAGCACAUACAUCAGGUCAAUAAAGGCACAUCAAUUACUUCAACUAUACGGAAUGAUGCAUAAACGUAGGUUGAAAAUAUUCCAAGCAACACAUAAAUACAUAACGAGGACCGUUUAGCAACAUCUUUAAAAACCAGGGAGGAGAUGGAUUACAGAUUCAAUGCUCAAUUCAAGAGCUGCCUUUUCCUUUUGAGAUGUCGCAUAUAAUGCACCGAGAAUGCCCGACCCCACUAUUCCAAGCCCAUUUAGGAGAGAUACAAAUGGAUUUCCCGGUCCUUCUUGUAACUUUACUGGCUGCAGAAAAGAUAAAUAUAUUAGAUUAAACAAGAAAAAAAUAAUAGACUCGCAUGGUGAAUUGUCUGGUUAUUAUAUAGCUAGAAAGGAAAGGUUAUCAAGCCACCUCAGAUUGGUUAGGCUCCUGCAAUAAAACUUCCUUCCCUGCUUGUUGGAGCCCAUGAAUUUCGGGUUUAAUUACAUUGUCUUCAUCUGAAAUACCUUGGAUUUCUGACUUUACUACAUUUUCUUCAUCUGAAAUACCUUCCUUUUCUGGCUUUACUACAGUAUUUUCAUCUGAAGCACCUUGCACUUCUGGCUUUGCUAUACUGUCUUUAUCUGUACAAUAAGAUAGAUCAGCAGAGGUUGUCAAACAAACCAUAGUGUGAUGGGGAAUGGACAAGGAGAUAAACAUGUAAGAUAAACAUGUAUAAUCUUAAAUUUAAGGAUAAAAUGAUUUUGAACCCAUAUACUACACUAAUCUCAAAUUGAAAAUUCCUAAAGACAAAUGCAACAGUCCCUUUGGCAAUAUACAUACGCUGCCACAUGCUAUGAACACCAAGUAGCCUUUUAAGCCACUUAUAUUGUACCAUACAAUUUAAGAUUCUCACAGAACCUACAACAUUAAAUUAUGGUUUUAUGUAUAAAUUACUCACAUAAAUUCUUUUUUCUUCGAGAAAAACUUAUUUGAGACAAGGUAGCCUCAUGCUUCAAGUUGAGGCUCUGCUCAAAUGCCUCAAGGGGCAUUGGUGAGGCAUCAUGAGUUGAUGCACCUGCAUUACAAAGAAAGACCCAUGAUUGAUAUUUUUCUAUAUGUAUGAAAUCUCUGGUGAGAAAAACAUACAUUAUGCCUUUAUUCUAUUGUAAGAGAGAGAACUGAAGGAGAUUUUGCCUUUUCUUCCAAUACUAACUUACGAGAUUGUACGAAUAUUUAAGCAUGAAGGUAAGGGACCAAGACACUAUAGAGAUGUUCUGUCUCAGGGUUAGUAUUCCACAUUAGGUACAAGGACACUUUGCCUUCUACUAUAUUGCACCUUUAAUUAUCUUUGUAUCUGCACAGGUUUAGCUGAUUCUUGUUUGAUAUCACAUAUAUAUGGAAGGGAUAUAGUUGAUCCUUGCUUAAUAUCAUAUAAAAUUUGGACGAAAGUACUUCAUGAGGCUGACAUGAGGUUAAAGUUGACAAUUGAAUCAAUACGCUGAAACAAACAAAGAGCCAAAAACUUUCUACAGGGAUUAUUUUUUUGAUCAAAUCCGUAACCUGAAAUUCAAACAACUAGAGAUUGCAAUAAAUAAACAAAUGUAGAACCACAUUGAAGGUCAACCUUGCAUUUCAAAUUGCGACCAGAAAAAAAUAGUAGGAAACUAAAGAAGGGAUAGGGGUUCCUAUACCAAUUUCAUCACAUUUACUGAAUUAAAGAUAAUGUGUAACUCUCUGAAAGAGAAUAAUUGUUAAACAUGUGACAUAAAAUUCUUAAAACCAAGCUACCAGAGCAGUACUCUAGGUCAUAUAUACCUAAUCGAAUCCCCUUUUUCUUUUUCUUUUUCUUUUUCUUUUUUCUCGUUUGGCAGUAUGCUUCUCAGAAUCCCAGAAAUCUUAUGAUAUAUGAGUAUUUGAGAUCUGAUAAACUUUCCCAAUUAAGUACUGCCGCUGACGAAUCGAAGGAACUCUCUGACACCACAGUGACAACCCAAUUUAGAACGGAUCUUAACCACAUGGACAAAAUGCGUAAAUCCUACUUAACCUACUUCCUAAUAUUAGUUCUCUACUUCUUGCACAUACAAUCGUGCACCAAUCAUCUUCCGUUACGGGACAAUUUUGAAGGCGCGCCCCGAAAUUAGGAUGUUGGCAUUGCAAUCAUUCCUUUCACGAGUAUGCAAAUCCAGAUCCUUCAAUUCCUUGGUAACCAAUGUUUUCUAUUGAUCAAUUCUUGUUUAAAAUAAACUAAAUCCACAUAAUUCUAACACCUCAAGCAUAAACCUACCCAAAACACACUAGAAAUUUCCACAGGCUACUUAAAUUACUUGCAACAAAGACUAAAAUUACCAACUACAACCGAAAAAUAGAUAGAAAUUCUUAAAGAAAAAACAAGGGAAUUAGCACACAAACCUUUAACCAAAUUUUCCACAGCAAUCGCUCUGAGGUGAAAGAGGGGCAAAACCGAGACACCUACAAGGAGUAUCGCUCUCCUGUUCGACGAACUCCCACUGAGAUCACCAUCGCCAUCGCUGGAGCUCACCGCGAACACCUUCUUCGCUGUGGAUCUCCUCUUAGGGCAGAGUAGUAAGAGUGGGGACGACGGAGCGUGGUGGGAGGAGGGUGCGGACAUUGGCGAGCACAAGAAGCUCGAAGAGCUCACUACGAACCCCAUUUGUGUAGCUCCCUCUUUUCCCUUACUACGCUUUUUUCUUUUUACUUUUCUUUGGAGAGCUAUGAGUUUACACGCUUCGUUCUUCUUCUUCUUCUUCUUCUUCCACUUCGGUUUAUCCCAUCUUUUUUAUUGCGUUUGGGGAAGAAGAGAGCGGUAUGAGGUAUCCACUUCCCCGGAGGAUUGAAAGAGGUUUUGUUUUAGCCCCGGAGUGAGUGGAGAAGGAAUGGGGUUACUUGAAAUUACGGUAUUAGCCUUGAAAAUUAGAAUUUGUUUGCUUCUUAGUCCCUCGCAACUUUAGAUAUGCGAGAGCAGUCCCUCAUUUGUGAAUAUUGAAAAAAAAAUAAAAUCAAAGUGUGCAUGCUAAAAGGUUUACUGUAAAUUAUUUUUAUAUAAGAAUACUAGUACUUAAAAUUAAUGUAUAAUCGAAUAAUCCUUAUAUCUCUCAAUACUUACUACUGCUUAAAAAUUCCACUACACUGCCUAUAAAUUUCAGAAAUAAAUUAAAUAAAUUAUUGUUAUAAUUUUAGUUCUAUUCAACAUUAUAAAAUGAUUCCAUUCAAAUUUUUCUAGAUAGAAUUGGCAAUACUUUCAUUCUAAGUAAACUAUUGUGAUGUAUAAAUUAUAGGAAGCUAAAAUCAAUCAAAAUUGAAAAAUAAUAAACUAGCAAAUCAAAGAUCUAGUACGUAUUAUCAUAAAUUAUCAGUUGAACAAAUAUUGUGCUUUGUUGAAGGCUAUAUACUUGGUCUUAAUCAGAUGAUGAAGAGAGGAGAGAGAAUGAAUCGUGACAAGAGAGAAAUAUAAGACAAAAAUAAUAUUUUUUUUAUCUAUUGAAUUGAAAUCUGAUUUUUCUUUUUAAUUUUCUGAUUUUUCAAGUAACUCCACUAUAUAGUUUACCGUUCAUUUGAUUCUUAGAAAGAGUAAUUUUCAUGCAAAAAAAAAGUUUCAAGAUUUUGUAAAAAAGAAAGUAGCAUUAUUGGUUUUAAUUUCUUAUCCCAAAAAUAAAAAAAAAUGGUAGAAAAUGAUUUUCAUAAUUUUUGUUGAAAAAUAUUUUUAUGCUCUUUUGAUAAACCAAACACUAUCUUAGUAGAAGUAAAUUGUGCAUGGGGAUGAUGAUUUGAUGAACUAUUAUAUAAAUCCUCUUGGAUUGGUGGGCUUUCCUGGAAUUAUAAAGAGGACCAAUGUGCAAAAAAAGCCUAAUAACUAACAACCCCUGAAUACGCAGGUUGAGGAGCAACAGUAAUCCAACGGACAAAUCAACACAUGCGAAUGUUAAAGCAACGCGUGUCAAAUAAUUGUCUCCAACUCCAAGGAUCGAAUUAAAUCUCCGCCGUCCAUUUAUCCUUCUAAGGCAGUGUGUACUCAAGGUCAUUUUCGUGAAUGCCACAGCACGAUACACAUCUUGGCCGCUAAUCGGGUGCCACGUCAUAACCGUCGAUUUUUUUUUUUGAGCGGUCGCCCAAUGAGCGUGCGCCAGCUCAGCAACAAUUCGGACGGGCACUAUCCGCUGUGUGAGAACAGCUUUGGGCCACGUACCCUUUUGCAAGGAAAUAGAGAAAAGAUUUCCGGCCCAUAGGCUAUUUUUGGGCUCUUUUAAAGGCCUACGAUUUUUUUUUUUUUUUUGAGGGAAAGAUAGUAUGCUACCGCUUCAUUCAAUGCGCAGAUGAACUAGGCUUAAAAAAAAAAAAAAAAAGGACAACCACUAAACACAGUAUUCUUCCCACACACUAACGGGAGCGUGUAGAUCCGUCAGCAUCUGUCUCACUGUGCGUUUUUUGUUAUCGAAAAUUCUUCUGUUUCGUUCUAACCAGAUGGCCUACGAAUAUUUUUAAUGGCCCAAAAAAGGGGCCUCUCUCUAGGAACAUAAACAAGAAUAAGAUUGAAUACACAUAAGCACUUUCUUCUUCUUAUUAUUAUUUUCUUUUAUUAAGGCCUCGUUUGGCGCUGCAUGCGACGCCCGUCACAGUGCAUAGCCGGUGAUCUCGCGCAUAUCCUACCUACCAAUCUCGGCUCAACAAAUUCAGAGAAGCAUUACCAUUUAUCGCGUAAUUUUAGCGUUUGCGCCUGUGGACGUGAAAGCAAUUUGCAAGAUGCUUUUACUGGUAGCUCACACUACACUGCAAAAGCCCUUCUGUCGCUUUGCUGAACUAGCCUUGGUAAAACUGGCCCUAGAGUCUUGUAAUCUGAGCAAAUAACCGAUAGGGUCGGGUUCGGGCCGAGUCUAGUUUCAAGCCAGAUUAGAUUUGACCCAUCAGCGGUCCGGUUGCAGUCGAAAAUGACCGGGCACACCGGACCGGGCCCAAGUUUUAUUGGACCUAUUAUUUUCUCAGUGGAUCGGGUUUGGUACACUAAAAACACACCGACAGGCGACAGCAUUAUUGAUAGUAGGUAAGAGUGACAUCGAUGGUAAAGCAAAUCAAGGUAACCUUAUAAUCAUGUGACAAAAACAUUUAUCUACAUUUCGAAAUACACAAUUAAAUCCGUCGAUCUAUUAAACUAUAUGAAUCAUCAAUAUUGUUUGUUCACGUGUCAAGCUUUUCUUCACCUCAACCGCAUAUCAUUUUUAUCCUUCCCUCCAUUAAGUUUUUAAUUAAUAUAUCUAAUUGAUACAUAUAUAUAGGGCACAACUAUUAAGAUUUUAAUUAAUGUAUUUAAAUAUUUCCAUAGCCAUAUAUGAUCUCACCUUUUUAUUUCUAAUUAAUUUAUCAUGACCCUUCCUAUUCCCCUUUGCUCCACCUCCCACUGCCAUUUAUAAUUCUCAUAUUUCUAUUUCUAAUUAAUUAAUCAUUACCUUCCGCCAACCAUAUAUAAUUCUCGUAUUUCUAUUUCUAAUUAAUUCAUCAUGACACUUCCCCUUUCCUCCAAUUUUCACUGCCAUUUACAAUCAUUACAUUUUUAAUUCUAAUUAAUUCAUUAUGACAUUUCCCUUUCCUCCAUCAGACUUUCAAUUAAUCCAUCUAAACGACAUGUUGCCAUCUACAAUCCUCACCUCUCUAUCCCUCAUCUUUUUCUCUAAAUUAUUGCCUCCCUCCCUUCCUCCCUCUCUCUCACUAAUGUGUGCUCACCUUCCCUCUCCGCUGCGGCCAAAGGGAUCGUCGUCAUCGUCACUAUCGUUGUUGCAAGAGAAGGCAUCGCCAGUUCCAUCCCCAUCGCCAACAACGAAGAACCUUCGGUCGGUGUGGCAAGUGAUAUACACAAAAAAAUAUUUAACUUUAUUAUUAUUAUUAUUUCUAUAGUUUCUAUUCCCUACGAAGCGCGAGCCCUUCACUAGUGUAAAUUAGACGACAUUUAGAGACCAUUUGGCUAGAUAUAAUUAUAAAUAAAGUAUAGUUGGAGAUGUAUGCAGUUGAAAAUACAGCAAUUGUAACUACAUGCAUUACGUUUGAUUGGAUGUAGUAAAAAGCGCUGCAACCACAAAUAAUUUAAUUGGUUGCAUGCAGUUGAGAAAUAAUUUUUAAAAUUUUAUCAUUUUAUAUAUAUGAUGGUAAGAUUACCUCCAGCGAAAAAAAAAAAUUUGUUUAGAAAUUUAUCUUUUACUUAAACCUACUCUCUUCAGCUACUGCAAUUGAAACCGCGGUCAAUUUAAGUAUAGUUCUAAUUGCUAUAGUUGGGUCUCCUCCUAUAGUUUCUACUAUAACAGUUGGAAUUAGAUAUAUCAAACACCAAAUUUGUAUUUACAUAUAGUAACAACUAUAGUACAGUUGCAACUAUAUACAACUAAACAGCCUAUUAGACGUGGUUAGCCAGUGAGAGAGUUCCUUCCUAUCCUUUCCUUUCUCCAAUUAGUGCAAAUUAAAAAAAAAAAAGGGCAAAGUGUAAAUAUAGUCCCUAAAUUGUCCUUUUUGUUUAAAGAGAUUAGUCGCCGAACUGUGGCCAAUUUCUUAUCAUGUUCAAAUCAUGUUCUUUUCAAAAAGAGACAAUUGCAAUUAAAUUGCUUGGAAUCUAUUGAAACUUUUUGAGUCGAAAGAGAUCAACGAUUCAUUUGUGAAUAAGCCCAACCGUUACUUCCACUUCUCACAAUUAGAUCUUUUCCCUACCCCAUUGCUCACAUAUUAAAGAAAUAAAAGAAGACAAAGUUUGAGGCAAUUGAUAGGCACAUUUUUGUUCGUUGGUGCAUUUUACUUAGAUUGGGCAAGGAGCGAGUUCACGCCCAGGUUCUUGUAAUCAACACUACCAUUGACAGUGGACUUUUGUUUUGUAUACCAGUAUUGGAGGAGCACAAAAAAAUCACAAGGUUUCCCCAAACAAUGAGGUGAAAGAGAUAUUGUUCACAAAAGAUAUAAAAACAAGGGCUAAUGGUUCUAAGCGUGGUCAGGCCAAGAACACGCUAACAAAUUAAAUGUUGAAGGCUCAAUUUUGCUGACCACUUCAUUGAUAUUAUAAUUCUGAAUCUCUUCCACUAUUCAUAUCCCGAUUUGCAAUUAUUUCUACUUACGAAGCAUUAAAUAGUUAAAAUUGAGCCUUCAAUCUUUAAAUUAUCGCGCCCUUUAUCUCGUCCAAACUCGACAGUUUUGCUAAUGAUUUGUGUAAGGAGAUGAAAAUUACGCAAGAGGUAUGCAAACCACUAAUGAUCAUGAGAGACAGGUUCCACUCGCAACGAAUUGUAAUAUGAUGGUGGAUGAAAGGAAGAACAAUAAUGGCAGAUAAAGAAGCCCAAGAAAAGAAUUAGACAUACAUGCCACACAGUUUUAUUCGAUCAUCAGCCUAGAGCAGGGUGUUGAAUCAAAUCUAGACAAUGAAAAAUAUCAAAAUUUACUCCGUGGGACGAUAGUGUCAUAAAGCUCGAGUCCCAGAUAACUAAAGAACAGUUGGCUAACCGAUAUUGUGAGGAGAGUUUCAACAAAUCGGAAGCUAAAUUUACAUCUUGGAGACUACUGAAGUUUCACAUAAUGAAUCCUCCAGCAACACAGAGAAAGCGGUAGAUUAGAAUCAGAAUGAGAAUCUAUGCAUUUUCUAUCAUGUUUUGAUUUCGGAGUUAAUUUGGAAUUUAGUAUCGCGAGUUUCCAGCGGACGCAAAUGGCAAAGUGGAUAGUAUAAACUAGCAAAUUGUGUACACCAAACGCAGCUUGUAAAAUUAACUUAAGAAGUUCGCAAAGCUUACAAUGAUACUGCAGCAGAGAGAUAAAAGGAAAAAUGGGGAGCCCAUGGAGUGGCUAACACCCUUAAGAUCAAAAUUAUAAGACGAACGCCAAAAGUUUUAUCAGAUAACCAAGAACUCUAGAAUUGGAAUAAAAGAGGGGGUUGAUAAUUCCCGGUAAUGACCCGCCAGCAUCAAAUGAGCUCUAAAACAAAAAUAAGCAAACAAAUUGAAAUGUACAUCGCGACCAUCCAUGGCUGCGAAAGAUCCACAUAGAACAGCGCUUCUUGUAUGGACGAUCGGCUUGUUUACCUUCAAAAGUCUUUCAUUGCCCACAAGAUGGCUUGGUCGGGCCACGACAAUUCUUCGGUUAUGUAGCGGUGACCAUCCCGGACAUGAAUAUGUCCUCGUGAAAGAAAGAGCCGGGAGAAUCCUCAGAGCUUGUUGAUUGCUUCUCCGCUUCCUCUUCGAUUAAGAUUUCUUGAUCACGGCAAUUCGAGCUACAAAAUGCCUUCUCACCUCUGCAAUCCAUCGAAGAAACUAAGGGUAAACAUUUUCGCAAGCUACUAAUUAGUUGCAACAAACAAUUAUCACAAACAAAAGGCUAAAAAUGCAGGAAAAACCUAUGAUUAUCAAUGUAUCAUGAGUUUAGCUACAAUUUGCUCCAAUAACCAGUUAAGUGCUAGAUACAAUAAUGCUACAAUACAAGGAACUAGUAAGCGAUUCAGAAAAGACAAGCAAGCAAAAAGAAAUGUGUAGCUCAUAAAAAACACUUCUUUACCUAUAGAUGUAGAUGUCAUUUCCUUCUAAUUUCUUCUUGCAAGAGAAGCAGAAGCUCAGGAAAUCAUCAUCAGGGGGGGCGGGUGUAUAAUCCACAGGAAAGUUAACCACCCAAGAAGAAGAUCCAGCUCCCUCUUUUCGCUCCUUAUUCUUACUAUCAGGUGACUCAAUUUUGUGGGAUUCAAGAAUACAAUCCCCAAAAAUGUGAGUUGUCUUUGGAUUAGGUCCAUGAGAAAUUAUGCAGGUGUAAUCCUCCGAUUGCUCGAUCUCAACGAUUGAUAUCGGGAGCGAGCCUGAGAAGUUCUCAAAACUGUAGCUUCCCUUAGCCGGCGGAGGCGAAUCCAAAAGAGUGUUCUUCAAACUGGAUGGGAAAUUUUCAGAAUUUGCCUUUGGGUUCUCAUAAAAUUGUUGAGUAGGGGGAAUCAGCGAUUCACCCAAAUCGGCAGAAAAAGAUCGAUUUUUUCCGAGUUCCCCGCACACCAACUCAGCCCCUUUAAAUCCUAAUCCCAUCUUUGCGCGAGUAAGCGAGGAAAUCCCGUAGUCCUUAGGCAAAGAUUUUGGAGCUGCUAUUGAAGAACCAUCUCUAAAACCAGUCAAAUGGGUCUUAGGAUUGGGGAUAUUGAUCCUCAUUUGUGAUCCAAAAAGUAUGUUUUUGCUCCCCAAAACACUCCCACAAACCAUGGUUUCCUCUUCACUGAGAGAAUCCACAAGGCCAAGGCCAACUCUUUUGUUGUCCCAGCUCCUUGGGGACCUCAUACUCGGAUUGGAAAAGAGCUUGUGAUCAAGAGGAGAGGUUGGGCUUUUCGCAGAAUCGUAGCAAUCCGAUAAGCCCUUUGUGGUGAAUCCUACAAAGAGACCAGGGAGGCUAAAGAGUGAGGAGCUCCUCCCCUUUUGCACCAAACCAUCAUAACAGGACGAUUCUGGGGGUGAAUAAUCAUGCAUUAUUAUGUGGGCUUUUCUCUGAUCUCUCUGAAAUGGCCUGCUCCUCUUCCUCAGCAUUAUUCUGAAUCUCUUCUACAAAUCCCUGAAUCAAAAUGACAAAGAAAAAAGGAGGAAUAAAUUUUUAGUGUGAAUAGAAACCUUCAAGGAUGACUACAUUAACAAAUAUCACUUAAAAAAAUAGGGAAGUUCCAAAAAAAAAAAAAUCAAAAUCCAUCUCUGUUGGAACUAAAUCAAAGAGCAUCAUUCACAUAAUGAUUCAGAAAUGAGUGUAAUCAUCAUAUAUUUAAACGUCCUUUUUUGAUCAUAUCAAAUAAAUGAGAUUGUUUAUUCAACAAAAAGGAAUAGGCAUAGAAACCCAACAUCACAUAGACUCACCCAAUAAAAACCCAAGUUAAAUUUUUAAAAAAAGAAAGAAAAUCUCCUCCUUUUUUUUUCGUUGCAUUUAAAUGAAACACCAAAUGUUUUACAAAGGAGAUAGAUUUAGAGGUGUGUGAACAUAAUGUCGACAUCACAGAUAUUAUAAUGUCACCAAAUCCCAAUCCAGAAAAUUUUUGACACAUCAAGCCUACAAAAUCAUCUAAAAAUCACAUUUUGAAUCACGAGUAAGUAGCAUCAGAUAAAGGAAUCAAUACUGCAAAUAAAGGAUCCCAUAGAUGAACCUGAGAUUACACUAAAAUAGCUUCCUUGCGCAGAACCAGGAAAAUAAAAAUAAAAGUCAAAAAAUCCCAACAACACACACACACACACACAAAAAAAACGAAUCUUUAGUUCUUUACCAAUGCACACAGCACACUCAAAUCAUCCGAAUAAAAAAAGAGGAGAUUAAAAAAAAAGGAACCAAAACAUAACAACUUGAGAGGCAACAACCGAACUAAAUGACAAGACCCACGAAGUGCAUGAGGAAAUGGGUACCCUGCUACUACAGAGAAGAGAGAGAAAAACCCACAAAGAAAUGGGAAAAAACCCACCUUUGCUUUUCGCUCUCCUUUCUCACUCAAGUCCCUUCAAUCUGAGAGAAAAGAGCAAAUAAACCCCUCUCUCUCUCUCUCUCUCUCUCUCUCUCUCUCUCUCUCAUAGAGGAGAGAGAGCUCAGUGAAGAGACCCAGGACCAGUAAAAAUAGGUUGACAAAGUUAUAUGAAAGCUUACACACUACACUACACUACACAACUCUCUCUCUCUCUCUCUCUCUCUCUCUCAAUCUUUUGUCUGCAUGCAUCAAAAUCAGAGAAACAGUGUGGCUUCUGAAAUACUCCUCCCAUUCAUGACUUGUCAGAAAAGAAAAAGAAAAAAAAUACAAAAUAUGGAGUAACUAUUAUUAUACGUAGCUCUACGGUUGGUACGUACAUAAUGCCUAUAGAUAGCAAAAAUUAUUCCCUGCACCCUGUGUAUUAUCAUAUUCUGUACACCAUACUCAACAUUACCUGGGAAACAUGUAACCGUAGAAAUUAAUAAUAUUAUUAUAAAAAUAAUUUAAUAAUUUAUUUUUAAACUUUUUAUAUAGUAUUUUAGGAGUACAGCAGUUAAUGCACCGGGCGCAUGUAAUAAUUUCUCGAGAAAUAGAAUGAUGUGGACCAAUUUAUACUCCACAUUGCUCCAGCGAAACGAGAACCGCUUGCGCAGUGGAAACGCGUUUCCUCGUCGGCAAAUCCCCCGUUGCUCUUUUGCUUCUAGUUUAAAUGNCAAGCAAAAAAAAAAAAAAAAAAAAAAAAAAAAACUUAUAAUAGAGCGGAAUCGGUUUUGGGGAACGGAUGGGAAACGAUUCUAUGGGUGGAAUAAGAGCGUUUCCCGCAACCCUACAGUGGUCGGUGGUGUCCUCUACGACCCGGACAUGGCGCGACUCUCGAUGGAUUGGACCAUAGAAGGACUAAAGCAACCAAUGAGAAUUGACCUGUCCAUUUUUUUCCUUUUUUUUUUACCCCUUUUUUUUUUUUACUUUUAUCGCUUUUUCCCCGUUUUACCCUCAUAUCUGAUUACGCCACGUGGACGGUGGAUGAUCGGAAGGGGACAAUCUCUCGCUAUCGAGGCGCUCUCUUUUCUGUCGCCGAACGGACGGCUGCGAUCGCGCCGGGCCCACGGGGGAGCGGCGGAGGGCUCAGAUUUAUUUUCCUUUUUUUUUUAAUUUCUUGCGGUGGGCCCCGCGGUGUUGAACGGGGAAAGGUUCGGGUUCUGAUGAGGUGAGGGGGUUGGGUUCACUUUUAUGGCGACAGUGAUGGCAAAAAACGACAAAGCCGAGCCCGGUGGGGCCCACGGCGUAACUGACGCGCGUCGGAGUCAGUUAUUAUUUCCUGCACCGCGGUCCAUACACCAAAGCCACCACAAGUCCAACAAUUUCACCUAGCAAAAAAUAACAGAUGUGAGAAUCAAAAAAUAAUUUUUUUUUUUUUGAGAGAUAGAUAGCAUACUAACCGUUUCGUUUAUUUCAUUUAGAAAUAAAUUUAGCUGAAAAUGUGAAUCAACUAGGAUUGAAAUUUGGAUCUCGGUUACUAACCAUCAAGCCCUUUACCACUUCCUCUAGGAAUGGUCAGUAUCGAAAAGUGAUAUUAAUAGAUUAAUUUUUCACAGGAACAUAUCAAAUUUGUUGAGAAUAUUUUUAAAUGCAGUCAAUAAAAAAUAGCUACUUCACAAAAAUUAUAUAUAUUUAUAUUAAUACUAAAUAAGAUUAAUUAAUAUAUAGUAUCAUUCUUUUAAAAUUGUUCUCUUUUAUAUACAUAAACUGUUCAGUAUCUUGGAACCCCAAGCAAUUGGUCCUAAAUUCAACUUCUGUAUAAAGCACCAGUAAAACUAUAGAUGUGUGAAAAUAUAUCUAUAAAUAAAAAUAUGUAUAUAUUUAUAUUUUUAAGUUUUAAGACCUUAGGCUUGGAGGUUAAUUCGUAGACUCCGGUUUGUAGAGUGUGGUCCAUGCAAUAAUUUCUAACAAUGAGUGGCGUCUUUACAAUCCUCAGAAACCGAUCUACUCGAGGCGAGGAGCAGCUCGGAAAGCAACGGCUGGGCUCGCUGGUUAGUAAAAAUUACAAAAAUGGCACUACAAUUGCAUUUUUUUUUACCGACCGUCCCUAAAACAAGUGACAAAAAAUUUGGUGAUUGGUACCUGAGACCCAAGUUCGAAUUCUAAUUGAUUCACAUUUCUAGCUAAGUUUAUUUCUAAAUGAAAUAAACGAAACGGAUAGCGUGUUAUCUAUUUCUCAAAAAAAAAAAAGUAUUUUUUUUAAAAAAAAAAAUAAUGUUACAGAGAACUAUUAAACUUUAAAAUGCAAAAAAGAGAAAAAACAAACUACCAAUUUCUCUAAUGUAAAAUUAAAUAUUAUUCAUUUUUUCAAAAAAAAAAAGUUUGUAGGUAUCGUAAUUAUUUGAGUACGGGUGGAUAGUUUAACUUGCGAACUGUAUUUGUACCAAAAUGGACAGAUAAGUCUAACAUAAUAAGUGAAAUUAAUCAGCGCUCGUCAACUACGAAUUAAAUAUAAAGAAUCGCAUAAAAGUGAUCAUGUACAGAUGAGUGUGGUCCAUGCACGUAUUCGUGUUUGAAGAAGACAACAUGAGCCUACGCAUUCGAAGAGCAGGGUGAAGUAGUAAAAGGACUUAGAAGAUGAGAAGAGGUUAACAUUAUUUGUGCCCAGAUAUAACAAAUCUCGCGAUGUGCUUAACAGAAAUACCACAAGUUGAUCGUAAAUCAAGUAUUGUAUACACGAUGAAUGACUAGGAUAGUAAUUCGUGCGAUGCGAUAAAUAGAUAAUAGAAAAAAAAAAUAAUGACAAAAUAAGAAAAAAAAGGUGAUGAAAAAAGCGAUGAUGAAGAGUGGGAUUCAUCUUGCCGAUGAACGAAGAUAACAACCGAAGGAAUAAAAAGAGGAACAAUUCAAUCUAAUAUGGAAGUGUGAUUUGGCUCGGUUCAAGCAAAAAAAAAAAAAAAAAAAAAAAUGGUUUCGUUCGAGCAAAGGAAGAAGAAAACUUUAGCCGGUUCGGUGUGGAGUCCACACUCGAUAAUGAUCGGUUUCAUUCAUGCAAAAAAAAGAAAAAUCGGUUCAAAGAUGAAAAGAUGUGGAACAGUUGGGUCGGUUCGAUCCAAUGUAAUAGGCUGACCUUGUUCGGUUCAAGUAAAGAAAGAGAGAAGUCAGGUUCAGUUCAAAUAAAAAAAGAAAAAAAAGUUAUGUGAAAUAUUUGAAUCGGUUCGGGAGAGUCCACACUCAAUAAUAAUUGGUUCGGUUUAAACAAAAAAAAAGAAUUUAGAGCUGAUUAAUUCGGAAUGGGGCUCACACUCAACAAUGCAGAGAAUAUUGCCAUUUGGUAAAUUUAGAAAAAAUAAUAUAUAAGUAUAGAUGAUAAAAGUAAUAUUUAAAAGUUCAUUGAUUUGGCAAAUAACGAACACAAAGCGAGGAAAUAAAAAGCUUACUAUGCGAGCAGAUAUAUAGUGGGUCAUUUUAUAGGAGAGGAAUAGUAUUAUUCUCAAGGAGAGGAGGAGGCCCUUUCACAGGUUACAAAAGAGCAUUCGAACUUGUUAAGCUCUUACCCUAUGUGUUGCAAAGGCCGCGUAAAACUGUGGGUAGCAUACUAUUUUUUUUAUUUUUUUUUUUCAGUUCUUUUACUGUCUUUUUCUCGUUUUUUUCAGACAUUUUAUUUCGUUAUCUCUUUUUUUUUUUUGCAGUUAAAUUUAUCUAUUUUCAUAACUAAAGUAAAAAAUAAACUAAUUUUUUUUUCUAAAAAAAAUAAUAAUAAUAUUGAUUCGUAUACGGCUUCGUUUUGCAGUAAAGAUAAAAUACGCACAUUCAAAUCUACACACCAUGAAUUUAACUAAGGCGAUUAUACAUAUAAGACGUACAUAAAUGUAAUGAUAUGGACAUCCGGGCCCAGCUUUACGGUGGGCCCCACAUGUCAGUGUCGCAAACCUGGGCGACAUGUAAUUGUUCCGCAGAGGACCACUUUUAUUAGUGCCAUAAUAUUCGUGUGGACUUAUGUGUGUGGAGCUCUGCAUCGUGCCUCACGUACAACAUGUGAUCACUACACCAUCUUUAAUCGAUACCACUACAAACUUUUCACUUUGUGGCGGCCCCACACCGUACCGCCCACACCCCCGUGUACCCAUUCCACCACCCCCGUUAAGAAUUUGGUGAGUAGUAUUAGAAUUUUUAAAUUAAAUUUAACUAUUUUAUAUUUAUUUUUAGAAAAUUAAGUGAAGGGGGUAAUUUAUUAAGUUUUCUCUUAAAAAACAUUAAAAAAGAAAACUGUUCAAAACCUCCUAAAAUGCAUCGAUCAGGUGUAUCAUGCAUCAUACUUAAUUCAACAAUUUAUUUGUUCUAUAGAUGGUCUAAUAAUAGUGAAUGAGCAACUUGCAUUUGUAUCCCGAUAUUUUUUAUAUGGAUGAGAGGCAAAUUGCGGGCACGAUUAUAUCAAAGUUUGCUAACUUGUCUUGCAGUCUAUAUAAGAGGUGAUCUUUUAUGUAAUAGUUGGAUCACGUUAUACAUAUCUCAGACCGAUCAAAUUUCUCUAUUUGAAAAAAAAUUAUUUUAUUAAAAAAUUUAUUAUAAAAUAGAAAAACUCUAUAAUAUUAUAAUUCAAUUAGUUUGAAAUAUGAUGACAUAGUAUAGCUGUUCCAUCUCACACUUUUUUCUAAAUAAAACGGUAAUUUAUUACAACACAACCUAACUUCGUCGCAAUUCUUAAAUUCGACGAAAUCUAUGUUAACAGUCUAUAUUAAGUUUGGCCUCCCGCUUCUCCUCUUCCAAUUACACUGUAAUGCCUUGAAAACAAAACUUUAUAAUAUAAAGAAAAUUUAUAUAUAUAUAUAUAUAUAUAUAUAUGAUUAUUUCAUUUAUUUAUAACGAAUAGAUAAUUUUUGAGAAAGGUGCAUGAUGCACCUGGUGCAUGCACAACUUUCCGAUUCUCCCACCAAUAAACUGUCUAACGGUCGAAACGGCUCCGUUACGGUCACAUACACUGUACCGCUCACUAGAGGACGAUUUUCCGUGGACGUACCGUUAUCAUCAUCAUUACCGGUCGCACUCAAAAGGUACCAACCCACCAACCGACGCAGUUAAAGUGAAACCCACGAACCACAAUUCGACCCGAACCGAGCUUAAUUUGGCCGAGACAUGUUCCCCACCACUUCAUUGUGCUGGGUAAAUUGCAUAACUACUCUGUGUACCAUACCCAUGUUCUUACCUGGUCCCUGCGCUAUUUGACUACUUCAACAGUUUUGAUCUUUGAAUUUGUUUCUUUUUCCCCAUACAUUAUUAUAUACUAUAAUAAUAUCCGUUAACAAAACAAGAUUCGAAUAAUUUCAACACAAAAUUCUUUCUUAAUUCUUUGCAAGCACCGGAUUACAAAUAUCAUGAUCAUAAUCUGGGGCGGAACCAGAGCCUUUUAUUUGUUGGAGGACACAAUGGAUGGCCAACAUAAUUAUAAGAUUAAAUUUCAGACAGAUCCCUAUAAAUAUAGUGAAUUAUAAAUAUAUUCUUAUAAAGUUCAACCUUCAUAUAUUGUUCUUAAAAAAGUGCUAAUAUUUUCUAACAUGUCCUGUUGUUAGGAUUCAUUAGAAAUUUUUUUUCAACCAUAGGUAAAAUACUCAAUUAUAGCUAAUUAAUGAAGUGAAUUGACCUAUUUAUCCAUCUUUAAUUAACAGUUGGAACUUUUGGAUGGGUAUAUUUAUGAUGACAAAAAUAUCAUUUCACUUAUAAAAUAAACAGUAUUUUAACGGUAACAAACUAAAGAGAUAUAUUUGAAAACAUUAUAAUUUUUUUACGGACAAUAUAUAAACGUUAAAUUUUGUAGAGAUAUAUUUACAAUUCACUAUAUUUGUAGGCACCUAUAUGAAAUUAACCCUAAUUUUAAACAUCUCCAUUAGCCUUUAUUUUUUUUAAUAUUUAUAAAUUAUACUAAACUACAAUUCUAUACAAUAAUUUUAUUAUGAGAUAUAUGAUUAUCUAAAAUAUUAACAAAAAUAUUAAUAAAUUUUCUGGCUAGCUGGUUAGCUAUUUUUUUUCUUUAAUAAAAAUUGACAAAAAGGGUCAUUGAAUAAUAAUUUAUAAUUUAUAAUACUUUUUUCUUUACUAAAAGAGUACGUAUAAAAAAACUCGGAAAAAUUUUGUACUGACAGAUCUUCAAAUUAUCACUAUGAUAUAUUCUUCAUUAUAAAUGUAUGUCUAUAAAAAUGUUAUAGAGAGAGAGUUGAGCUACUAAAUAUUAUUAUAUACAUUUGCUAACACAUUAAUAAUUUAUAAAAAUAUUUUUUUUUAAAAAAAAAUACUAGUUGUACAGUGUAUAUUCAAAAUGAAGGUGUAGAUCUUACACCCUCCUUACUAAAUUUUAUAAAUCUUUUUGGAAUUUUAAUGCUAAAAAAAAAAUCCACAAGUAUGCAGUUAUAGUUCUUGAUUAAUGAGAUGUAAGAAUUAUAUUUCUGUUUGGGAACAUAUACUAUUGUUCUUUAAUAACAAUCCAAAAUAUUUUUUUAUUUUUAAAAGUUUUCUAUUAAAAUUAUUAUCAAUUAUUAUAUCUUAUUAAAAUUUAAAUUUUGUGUAUUUCUGUCAAUCGCUUAUAAGAUAUAUUUAAUACAAAAAUUAUAAAUUAGUCAAAUGCCAAACUUGGAAAAUAACACAAAGCAUUUGGUAACAUAUCCCUAAGCUUGUGUUUGGUUCGGGGUUAAGGGGUGGGAUUAACCCUUAACCCCGGUUUUAUUCCCAAACAUAAUUUUAGGGGGUGGGGUUAACUAAACCCCCCUCCCCUGAGAAUUGGGGUGGGAUUAAAGUUAAUCCCAUCCCUAUUUAAAAUUUAAAUUUUAAAAUUUAAAUUAUUAUUUUUAAUUAUAUAAAUUUUAAAUUUAAUAUUUUAUAUUUAAAAUUUUAUAAAUUAUAAUUUUAAAUCUUAAAAUUUUAAUGUUGGAAUUUAAAUAUUUAGAAUUUAAAAUUUUUAAUUUUUAAAUGUUAAAUUAUUAUUUUUAAUUAUUUAAAUUUUAUAUUUGUUAGAUUUGAUUUAAAUUUUAUAACUUUAAAUUUUUAAAUUCGAGAUUUAAAAAUAAAUUUUAAUUUUGAAUUCUGUAAUUUUAAAAGUUAUCCAUUUAAAUUUAAAAUUUGAAAUAUAAAAUAAAAAAUUUAAAUUUAAAUAUAAAAAUUGGGACAAAAUUAUUAUUUUCUAUUUAUAACAACCCACUAUCCUUCUUAUUCCAACUACUCCAACCAAACGUUAUUUUUCUUAUACCUGGACUAAACCCAAUUCUCAACCAAAUACAAAAUUACUCUAACCCCAACUUAAUCCUGAACUUAACUCUAUUUCUGAAAUAACUAAUUUUUACUUAAUCUAGAACCAAAGAGUAGCUAAGAUAUUUGGAAAAGAUUGUGGGAAACUAACUUUUUUUUUUUUUUUUACUGUUAUUUUUAAUUCCUCAUCUACCCAUAGAUUUUACUUGCAAGUACGAUCCUUUUUGUCGUUUUGCGUGACUCAGCUUUUCAUGAUUUCCGGUGUCAGAGAAAGAGCCGUGCACGCCUACGUACCGCGCGGCGAUCCAACGGCGAGGAAUGAAGAUUCUCUGACCGUUGCCGUCAUAUCAACGGCGAGGAUCGCCCUCAUCGUACGGCAUCCGCGUGGCGAACAGAGGCGGAUCCCACCGCACGUGCGGAAUCCGACGUGGCAGGUCAUAUAGGGCGCCAGUUGUUGGAGCGUUGCUCGUGGAAAAGAUACGCCCCCGUUAUCUCUCCCCAGCUUUUUGACCUUUCGAUCACCGUAUCCAUCGAAUGGACGGUGCAGAUCAACUAUUGCGAGAACCGAGAUACAAUAAUGUACAGGUAAAAAUGGAUGAAGGACCCUCAACUACAGAUUUUUCGGAAGUAGGCCCCUCAACUCCACCUUUAUUUUAUUUACACUGCUUGAACUGCUAAAUAUUUUUUUUCCUUAAAUUAUUCUAAUUAGUUAAAUUAAAACUUUACUAAAUUCAAUAUUAUAUAUUAUUUAAUUCUAUAAAAUUUUCAAUUAAAAAAGAUAAAAGUUAAGAAAAUGCAAACAAAAAAAAAAAUGUAAAGUUGGGAAAAUAUUAAUGUUUACUUAUUUUUAUGAAUGAUAUUUUUAUCUAGGCUAAAAUGAAACAGAUACAAGGAAUAAUCCUGGACUCACAUGGGCAAUAGUGGGAAUAACAGUGAGAAUGGAUUGUACUGGGAUAGUGAAACAAGGGGAUUUGGAAAUAAUUUAAUCAUAAAUUAAUUAUUUAAAUAUUUUACUCAAUCUUUUGCUCCUGCAGAAAAUUUUCUUUGCCCCUUGCAACCUGUAAUUAUUGCAGGAGGCUGUUUCUAGUCACGAAGAACUAAAAAUUCCAUUAGAAAGUGGCCCAAAAAAUUAUUUUUAAAUGCACUAUUUUAUUAUUUUGUUACUUUUGUUUAAGGAAGUGGGUAGCACCAGAGAAACAAGAAGAUUUUUUUUUAAAAAAAAAUUGUGAUUACGUAUAGGAUUUGAAUAAGUGGUUGGUAGUAGUUUAAUUUUCUAAUGAAUGCGAAUAACUAAACCUUAUUUGGGUGCUAAAUUUAUGUCCUUCUUUCUAAAAGCGAUGUGUAUAAUAUGAAACAUAUAUGUCAUGCGUUGCACGUUAAUGUAUGAUAUAUGAAUGGUUCUCAAAGUUUCAGUAUUAAACUAACUAUUGGUUAAUUAAUGGGGCAUAUAGUGUCACAUAGAGGGUGACAUUAUUCUAGGAGUAGUUGAUCAAGCCGUUCGUUUUUUAAUUGACGGUGAUCCUGCGAGCACUUGCUGGGCUAGCGAACUGCAUGUACAUUUAAUUUGUUUCUAUUCAACUCUAUCGUAUGAUAAAUAUCAGAUACCGCUUUGAAGAAGAUGACCUACAAGAACUACCAAGGCGGGUUUCGCCCCUCGCGCGGUAUGUGCUAAAAUUUAGAACUCGAGCCCCUACUACUUAUUAGUAUUUAUGGGCUCAUACAGGAUUUUGGUGGCAUGGGAUCAGCGAGCAAUGUCACACACACAAAAAAAAAAGAAAAAAUCAUCUGAACAAUAAGAAAAUUUGGCCCUUGUGUGUACAUUAAAGCUCUAAAUUAUAGUUACUAGUGUAAAUUUUUAGUUUUAGAUAAUUUGUUGUCUAAAAAGAAUUACAAAUACGUAUAUAGUUCUAGAUAAAUAUAGUAACUGAAUUCACAGUUGUAGUGGAGCUCGAUCAGGCCCUUCAUCCUUGCUUCAAGGUUUUAAAUACUUAGCUAGAAUUGUGCAUAGAUUAUCAGUCUAGGAUAUUCUUAGGCGUAGGUUACUUUUCAACUUUAUCAUCAUAGAUAAGUGUCAUUUUUAUUGAAUGAGAGUAUAAUUAUAAAGCAACAGUAACGGAAAAAAAAAAAAAAGGAAUAACGCCGAAUAUACAUCUCAAAACUUGAAAAAUAUCUUACUUAUCUGUGGUUUUCAAAAUUAUCUUCUUUGUAUCUAAAUUUUACCUUGAAAAAUGUCAGUUUCUUUCAAAUAUAUUCUUCUCCUUGAGGAUUUAUUGGAAAGAUUUAAAUUUUUAGAAGGCAUUUAGAAAAUUAAAGGAUUAAUUUGAAAAAAAAAGAAUAGUAAUUAGUGGUAUAUGGCAAAUUUUCUCUAAAAGUAGAUAUAUAUAUAGUUGAGACUUGCUUUGUGUCUGACAAAGCAAGCUUAAUUUGUUUGUAAUUUUGUAUCAGUCCAUUUUUAAAAUCCUCAUAUUUAUUUUAUUUACUACCACCAAUAUUUCUCCUCGAUAAAUGAAACAAAAAGGAAAGAAAAUGAAUCAAAAAAUCAACUAUAUAUAUUUAUUUAUUUAUUUAUUUAUUUAUUUAUAUUUAUAUUUGCAAGUGUUGCUUCUCUAGUCCUCCUAAAUGCAUCCACUAAAAUGACAGGAAAUCUAAUCAAUGCACCUGCUAUAUAUUAAGAUGCCAUGCAUCUACUUGCUCAGUUCUGAUAUUAUAUAAUUACAACAUUAAUUGUACCUUUGUUCUCACCACUAUGUAGGAGCCUAGUUAUGCCUGUGACACAAUUUUUUAAAACGGACCCCAUCAACCAAAUAUGUCAUCAUUUGAAUCAUUCCAGAAUCAGAAUAAGAUACUGAAACUUUAUUAAACACUAUUUAAUAAAUUCCCCUAUUUAUUCAAUAGCCAUUAAGAUGCCUAGUGUUUCAUUUAUUUGUUAAUUUAUUGAUUGUUGAUUCAUUUUCUUUUUUUCUUUUCUUUUUUAUGUGCAAUCCAUGCUUUUGCUUUACAGUCCAUGUUCUCUUAAUACUCAACUUAGAGCCGCAAUAAUAGCUAAUACGAUUUUAUUAAUAAGGAUUAGUCCAAAACAUCCACUCUACACCUCAGAGUGUUGUGCUAGAACAAUGCGAUUGUUGAGCUGCCAAAAUCGCCUUUAUUUGGUGGGCUAAACAAACAGUUGGUGUUAAGCGUUAUUAUAAUAUUUAUAAUACUAUUUUAUAUGUUUGAUUAAAUUAUUGGAGGGAACAAAUACAAUUUUUGAGCAACUAAAAUAUAUACCACGAUUUUUGGACUUGGAGAGACAAUACAAGCUCGAUGAGAACUAUUAAAAUGCUUUAGUACAAUUUUGGCAAGCAAAUGAUGCGAUAGUAAAUACCGAAUUUUUACUAUGACUAGGUCACUUUGAUUGUAUACAAUUACCCUUGAUCUGUUGCACAAGAUUUGAUGUUGUGUUUUUUUUAAAUGUUUUUUUUUUUUGAAAUUUAGUGAUGAGGGCUAGGGAGCUGUACGAAAGCAACUCGCUUCCCAUUUCUCAACUUGAGCAUAAAUUAAAAGUUUAAUUCAAAAUUCUCAUGAAAAUAGGGUACAUUCCUGUUUCCUCAAAAAAAAAAAAAAAAAAUCUCAUGAAAAUACUUUUUAAACUUGAACAAAUUUGAUGAAAUUAUGAACUAGCAUCUACAGAAUUCAAAUAGAUUUAGAAAUUGCUCUGAUUGCAUAUCAGCUCACGUGAAAGUAUCAUAAAUUUAGAUGGAUAUGCGGAAAAUUCUGGACUAAAUUUAGAUAUUUAAAUUAAUUUGUAAGUGCAAGUGUAGUCUCUUUAUCUUUCACCACAAAAAAGAAACGAAAAAAGAAUUUGUUUAUCUCUUGUACUAUUUUUCAACUCUCCAAAGCAGUAGCCUCAUACAAAAAUUGAAGAAAUAUUAUUGGUGGAAUCGGGUACAAUUGAUUCGUAGUUUUAGUUGUUUAUCAAAAAAAAAAGAAGUAUUAAAGUACAUGGUAGGUACAUUAUGUCCAAGGUCCUAUACACAUGAUGGUCCUAAAAAAAUGAUGGUGAGUACAUUAUGUGGAGGGUCCCAUGGACAUGAUUGUGGGGACAUUGUGUAUAGGGCCAUUUUUUGUGGCCUCACCCAUAUAUAGGCCCAUUCCGUAGGAAUAGAAAAUAUGAUGGUGUGUACAUUAUGCGGAGGGUCCCAUGGACAUGAUGGUGAUGACAUCAUGUACAGGGCCCUGUUUUGAGGCCCAAUCCAUCUACAUAUCGGGACAUCAUCUGGGCCGUAGGAUUCUAUAUAUAUUGUUGUUAAAUCUCGGCCCAUUAGGAGCCCUAUAUUCGUAUAAUCUACGUUUCAUUUUUACUUAUAUAAAAAAAAUUAGAAAAUAAAAAAAAUUAUGAAUCCUGCAGUGGUACAUAUAUUGUUGGGAUCUGAGGUAAUGAGAUAAAGAAAAAAGUAAAUUAUAUAAAAGCAAGUAUCGAUCGCUAUUGUGGUUGAACAUAGGUAAAAAAAAAAAUCCUUAGAGAUACAAAUUUUUUACAUGAACAAUGAAAAAAAAUAUUAAAUUUGAUGAAAUUAAACAUAACUUUGAUGAGCUUAUUAAUUCGAUCAGCAAAAAUCAGUUGAUUCUAAAAGGCCAAACAAUUAAAGAACUUCAAUAACAAUAAUUAAUCGUUCAUCCAAUUCUUUUAGCUUGUCUUUUAUACUUUGGGGACCAACGAAAUUGGAUACCUUAAUCUCUAAAUUUUCACAUGUAUUAUAUUUUUGUCCGUUCUUAAUAAAAAGAAACUAAUUUUAAUACAUAAAACUACUGCUAAAUGUUGAAGCUUUAUGCAACAUUUGAGUAACUUGAACUAAGAAGAAGUUUGAGGCUCAUUUGGAAAAAUUACAUUAUGUGAAAAUUAAGGAUGGUUACACUUACAGAUUAAUGCUGUAAAUAAACAAAAAAAAACAACUGAAACAAAAAAUACAGGCUGAUUUCAUGCUUCUACUGUUGGAUGCUUUACAAAGACACCAUUCUCCUUAUUUAAGGAAUUAUUAAUACUCAGAACAAAUCUAUAAGAACAAGUCAUUAAUGAACAAGAUAGGUGACAAGAAGCGCUACAAUCAUAAGAACGUAAGCUAUUCCUUGGUCGAUCGCCUUCCCAUCGCUCGUCAAACAUGGCGCUACAGCUUCACCAGCCGUUGGUUGCAUCAACCCCGACACGAAAAAUGUGACGAAGAUCAUCGCAUAAACUCGAAUUGAAUUCAUUUUUCUAAAAAAAUUAAAAAAUCAAAAAACUAAAUAUUUGGAUUAUGUAAAUCUUAGUCUAGUUUUCUAAUUUGUUGAGAGCAAGUAAAGAGGAAGAGGUAGGAAUAAUUCUAUGGAGGGAGAGCUCUAGAGAUGUUUGCUUAUAUAGAGGCUUAAUUUAGUUUCGUGGGUUUUUGCUGGAGUAUUAAUUUGGACUCAUGUAGACGUGCGUUAAGGUCUAUUAAUUUGUACCCUUUUUUUAACUAUUAUUUCUUCGACAAAUAUAUUGACCGAUUCUUACAUUCCGAUGAAAAAUAGGAGUAAAAAAUCCAAAAGUGGAGGUCACCUAAUCAUCAAAUCAAUUGCUAAUUCGAUAUCUAACAUUUUAAUUUUAUGUCGCCGUACAAAGACCGAGCAUUUUAGGCCGGUUUUUUGUUUUCGUCACCAGGGGAGUCAAAACGAGUCAAACACGCACGAGCGUCUCUAAUAAAAACAAGGCAAAAUAAUGAACUUAUAUAAAUAAAUGAAAUAGCUAUAUAUCCUAUUAAAUUAUAAAUAACAAAACUUUUGAAAAAAUAAAAAGUUAAACGACUUACUUAUAAUUAUACUAAAAAAUAUCAUACUGAAUAAGUUAUGCUUGAAUAACUUAUUUCAACAUUCAAAUUGGCAUAAAAUCUUUCGAGAUAAAAAAUACAUAUGCUUAUUUUACAACCAUAUAAAUAUAAUAACUAUAUGAACAAAAAUGUCUUAAAAGUAUCUUAUAACAUCCACUUUACGUUAAGUCGAUAGGAUCUACAUAGUUAGUUCAAAGAUUAUCGUGAAAUCCAAAUUUUAUAAGACAAAAAAAUUAUGAUGUACUAAAAGCUAAAAAACAAUUUGUUUGCACGAGAGAAUCUAUUGAGAGACAACCAUUGAAAGCAUGCAAAUGUAUGGAUGUUAAAACAGUAAUAAAAUAUUGAUUAGAUUAAUUUUUUAUGAGAUAAUAUAUAUAUAUAUAUAGAGAGAGAGAGUCUUACCAAUAUACUCUUAUGAUUAUAAAUCUAUUUAUACUUAUAAAUUUUCGAUCGUUAAAUUUAUCUGUUUGAUCAUUUCCUCCCGUUAGAUAAUACUAUUCAAUCAAGCAUGCAUUUACUUAAUUUUAGAAGAACACUAUCGUCCUAAUCGAAAAUUGCUAUUAUCCCAACCGCACAUCACUCCAUCUAACGACUGAAAAUUUAUGAGAACAAAAAAAAUUAUACUCAUAAGAAUAUAAUAAAUCUAGCCUCUAUAUAUAGAGAGAGAGAGAGAGAGAGCAGGGUUACUGUGCUAUUAGGAGCACAGCAGGUCAUGUGCUCCUAACUUUCUAACCACUAAUUUGAUGAAUGGUUAGAAUGAGAGAGGGAGGAGAUAUUAAAGAGAAAUUCAAAGAGAAGAGAAAUUAAAACAUCCAAUUUUCCCCCAAUAUCUUCUCCCUCUUUCAUUCUAAUCAUCCAUCAAACUUGAUUCACUGCCACGUCAUCUGGUCUUAUGGUCAACAAGUCCUCGGCCCACCGUGAACUACAAGUUACAAGCAGGAACCGUAUAUCCCAGCUUCAAUUUUUUUUUUUUUUUUUUUUUUUUUUUUUUUUUUUUUUUUUUUUUUUUUUUUUUUUUUUUUUUGGUCCGACCACGUUCAAUAGCGGCCUUAAACGUACCGUUUGUCUCUUUCGUUCAACUCAAUCAAAAGAGGCGGCAUAAAGAGGACAACAUUAUGCACAAAGCUACACUGAUUAAUUUUAUUACUUAACAAAGUAAAAAAAAAACCUCCAAAACUAUUUAUAGCCUCCCCUACGUCUCUCCCUACCAAAACCAACAACUAAGCAUAUCCCAUUCUUCUUUUCUAGUUCUACAGCUUCUUAAUUUUCAGGAAAAUUGAAGAUGAGUCUAUCCGUUAGAGCGUGCGCGUUGAUCUUCACCGCCUUCUUCUUCUCAGGGAUGAUGCAGCUCACUUACGGGGAAGCAACCACAAAGCCAUGUCGCGAGAUCGAUGGCAAAGCGAUCGAUCAGGGGAUAGCCUACGUCCUCAUGCUCGUCGCGCUUUUCGUCACUUAUCUUGUUCAUUAGUUAUAUUUAUUAUUAAUUAGCUCGUACUUGAUCAACAUGAACAUGCAUGGGUUUUUUGUAACUUAUCUUCUUCUCUUUUUUGAGAAAAAAAUAGCAAGCUAGUGACAUAUAUAAGGUGUGUUGCAUUAUCGUACCACAUGCAUAUGACGGGCAUUGGUUAUUUUUCUAAUAUAUAGUCAUUAUUUGUGUGUGAUUCUUUCUAUAUGUAUAUAUAUAUGUAGUACUUUUUGUUGAAAUAUAUACACUAUAAACAUAUACAGCAACUCUGUUGCAUCCUUCAACACAAUGCGCAACCUUUUGUUGAUGAUAUGUCCGUUUCUGAAACUUUUUUUUUUUUUUUUUUUUUUUUUUUUUUUUUUUUUUUGAGAAAUAGGUAGCAAGCUACCUGCUUCAUUCAUUAAGUGAAAUGAAUUUAGCGUACAAAAUGGAAGCAGCUAGGGCCUCCAGACAGAGCCGGCUACAGUUUAACAAAACAAAACCAAAAGAAAAACGGGGACAAAAAGUAGACAAAGAGGAAGAGAAACGAACAACUCGGGACCACAAAAUCGACAACGACAAUGAGAGCGCGAGGGGCUUCAAAGUGUUUCGUUCCAACCUCUGAUCAUAGAGGCGACACGCUGAGCAGCCCAGGACACGUUAUGAGCCUCAUCGCUGAAGCAAAUGCUGUUUCGCUCCGUCCAGACGACCCACCAAAUCGCCACUAAAUGAGUUAGACUUUUCGAUCUUGAUUUGGGCUCAAGGUUCUCGGAGAUCUGUGACCAAAGCCUCCGAACAUCCCCCUCUUCCGAAAAAGCCAGCAAAAUGGGUCCCACUAUAAAACGAAGAUAUCGGACAAAAAUACAGUCAUGGAACAGGUGCUCACAGGUUUCAGAAUGUUCUGCACAGAACUUACACCAUUGAUCCACUGGACACCCUCGGCGAAUCAAUCUAUCCGCUGUGAGUAAUCUCUUUCGAAGUAGAAUCCAGACAAACACUUUAUGCUUGAGCGGGAUAUUUAGUCCCCAAAGGUGAUCGUACAAAGGAACAAUCACUCCUCCAUCCGUGAUAAAAUCGUAAAGGGACUUAACGGAAAAAGUUUGGUUCGCGGUCCAUCGCCAUUUUGGUAUGUCCUGCGUAUUCGAUGGACUAUGCCUAGCGAGCAGGCUCUUGAGUAGCGCAGUCUGCUGACGGGUCAGAGGAUCGGUACUUGCAGCCAGGCCUCUGGUUAUGAAACGCCAUCUCCAUCCUCUUUCGUUCCAGCACUGUGAAACAGUAGCUUCCUGAUUUGCGAUUCUGCAGAAUACUCCCGAAAAUCUGGUACUAAGAGGGGUUUCUUCAAUCCAAAUGUCCGACCACCACCUGAUAUAUUUUCCGUCACCGAGUACGUAGGAAAGACCACAUUUGAACUCAUCUUGACAACUCAUCACACUUCUCCACCACUGGGAGUGCGGUCUGAAGGAUCUUCCCUCAUGUAACGGCCUUCUUCUAGAAUAAUAUAAUACGGUGAUCAACCUCCCCCAUAACAGAUGCUUCUCAUUGAAGAAACGCCACCACCAUUUAGCCAGUAAAGCCUUGUUCAUUGCUUCCAUAUCCUUGAUUCCCAGACCUCCUUCUUUUCUGCUUUUACAAAUCGUUUUCCACCCAACGAGACAAGAACCCCCUGAAAUUUUAGAGCACCCUUUCCAAAAAAAGGACCUUCUAAGAGCUUCAAUGCGAUUCAGUACCCAGUGUGGCACUUUAAAAAUCGCAAAAUAGAAUAACGGAAGAUUCGCCAAAACCGAGUUAACUAGGAUGAAUCUCCCCCCUUGAGAGAGGAGUUUUGCCUUCCAUCCGUCAAUUCGCGUCUCGAUGCGAUUAAUGAUCGGAGUCCAAUCGUCCUUCCGAAGUGAUUUGAUAUGAAGCGGCAACCCUAAGUACCGAAACGGAAGUUUACCAACUCUACACCCCAAUAUCUUUGCGAGUCUUUUAGCUUUAUUAGCCGAGGUUCCCACAUGGAAAAGUUCAGUCUUGUUCAUAUUAAUCUUGAGCCCAGAGGCCCAUUCAAAUAUCUUCCAGAUGAAACGUAAGUUACGCAUCGCAAACUUUUUGGGCUCCGAGAAGAAAAUAGUAUCGUCCGCGUAUUGCAGAAUCACAGUCUGACACUCGGGUGCCGGUCCAAUUCCUUGAAGCAAGUUGUUACCUCUUGCAGUUUUCGUGACCCUAGCCAAACAAUCUGCCACUAGAAUAAAUAGAUAAGGGGAGAGCGGGUCCCCCUGUCUCAGCCCUCUUCUUGUUUUUAUCCAUUGUGUCGGCGAGCCGUUCACUAAAAUAGCGAUUUUGGCAUUGCAAAUGCAUUGUUCGAUCCAGUACCGCCAUUUGUCAUUGAAUCUAAGCCACCGUAGUAUACUUUGCAAGAAUUUCCAGCUAACUUUGUCGUAGGCUUUCUCAAAAUCUACCUUGAUACUGACGCACUCCUUAUUAGUUCUAGCGCACCAGUUGAGUAGUUCAGUUGCAGUGACGAAAGAGUCAGCUAGUAGUCGGUCUUUCAGGAAGGCCGAUUGAGAUGGAGAGAUAAUCGAAGGCAACACAUUCGCUAAUCUGUUCGCGAGCACUUUCGAGACAAUUUUUUGAAUACCAUUAAGGAGAGAGAUUGGUCGGAAAUCGUUUACUUGGCAUGCUCCUUCCUUUUUGGGGAUUAAACAAACAUAAGAGUAGUCCGCUGGUGCCGUACAAAGAUCAGAAUCGGAGAGCUCUUUGAAAAUAUCAAAUAUGUUAUCCUUAACCGUCUCCCAGAAGUGUUGGAAAAAGAUAAGAGGGAAGCCGUCGGGACCAGGUGCCUUAUCGCUACCAAGUUGAAAGGUCGCCUUUUUAAUUUCGUCCAUAGUAAAAGUGGUCGAUAUUCUGAAACAUUUUUUUAGUCAGAAAAUUAAUCACUCCAUUCAAAACCAUUCAAAAAAAAACCAUUUUAGUAGAGGAAUUAAGCAUGGCACCUCUAUGAUUUAUUACUUUAACAUGUAAAAACAAAAAUUGCAUCCCGAGAAAAUAGAAACUUCUCCUGAAAUGGGAGAAAAGGCCAAUAAUAAUUAGUACGUACAAACCCCUUUCCAACAGCAUAAAUUAGAACAGAGAAUGAGAAUAUAUAGUGUUCUCACACUUGACACCAUCACUUCAACCUUAUUGAACGCAAUCAAACUUAAAAGCAAAGUAGAGCAAAGAAACCAGAGACCUUAUAACCUAACUAGCAAAUUUUAUUAAGGCUUCUUAAGCUCAAGUCUCUUCCUAUUAGAAGGAGAAUUGAACCCACCACCUAUGUUGCCUUUCCAUCCUUUUCCUUUGUGAUGGUUCUUAAUACCACUUACUAUUCCAUGGCGACCUACACCGAUUCCGCGUAAACCACCGCCACCUCCCUCACCUAAUCCGCCUCCGGCUCCGGUGCCCCCAACGCCAUCACCGAAUCCACCACCUCCGCCGAACCCACCGCCUGCUCCGCCACCAAUACCACCACCUGCACCACCUCCUCCGCCGAAUCCACCUCCGGCUCCGCCACCAAUACCACCACCUGCGCCACCUCCGCCGCCGAACCCACCUCCGGCUCCACCACCAAUACCACCACCUACGCCACCUCCGGCUCCGCCACCAAUACCACCUCCUGCGCCACCACCUCCGCCAAUACCACCACCUGCACCACCGCCUGCACCAAUUCCACCUCCGGCUCCACCACCAAUACCGCCUCCCGCCCCGCUGCCUCCGCCAAUUCCUCCGCCGGCUCCACUGCCAAUACCACCACCAAUGCCACCUCCUGCACCACCACCAAUACCACCACCGAUGCCGCCUCCGCCACCACCGCCAAUACCACCACCUGCACCACCAGCUACGCCGCCAAUUCCAUCCCCGCCGCCCCCGCCUACGCCGAUCCCAACCCCCGCACCGACUCCGCCACCGACACCGAUCCCGCCGCCACCUCCACCGCCGAUCCCAAUCCCACCGCCACCCCCUGCGCCCACGCCCAUCCCACCACCACCGCCGCCACCACCAAUCCCACCGCCUAUUCCACCACCAACACCUCCGCCAAUGCCACCGCCACCACCAAUCCCACCGCCUAUUCCACCACCAACACCUCCGCCAACGCCACCGCCACCACCAAUCCCACCGCCUAUUCCACCACCAACACCUCCGCCAAUGCCACCGCCACCACCAAUCCCACCGCCUAUUCCACCACCAACACCUCCGCCAACGCCACCGCCACCACCAAUCCCACCGCCUAUUCCACCACCAACACCUCCGCCAAUGCCACCGCCACCACCAAUCCCACCGCCUAUUCCACCACCAACACCUCCGCCAACGCCACCGCCACCACCAAUCCCACCGCCUAUUCCACCACCAAUACCUCCGCCAACGCCACCGCCACCGCCAACUCCACCACCUCCACCAAUCCCACCUAUUCCACCGCCGACUCCACCACCGCCACCAAUCCCACCACCUCCUCCUCGUCCCUUUCUACCUUUCCCUGCACAAUCCUCAACCCUUAGUGUGCCAGAAUUAAACACUAGCUUCUUCCCGCUCUCUCUUCCUACCUUCACCCAACUCUCAUUGCCCAUAACGUUCACUACCCAACCCAAUACAACCAAGAAGAUCAAAGCUCGCUUUCCCAUACUAGCUGUAGUAGUAGUAGUAGAAGAAGAAGAAGAAGGAGAAGCCAUUAGAGAUGCGGACGUAUAUUCAUGUAGCAUACACCGCUGGGUUUAAAUAGAGGAGCUUGGAGGGACUAAUUUGAACUUUUUUGGAUUCAAAUUAAUUGUCCUUGUUUCGGGAAGCUGUAAGGAUUCAGGUGGCGGGUAGAGAACAAGACAAGUUGGUGUUUAAAUGCUGCGCCGCUUUACAUGAAAAAGCGCUUUUUGGAGUAGCUCCUCCCCGCCUUCUACGUGAGGGGAGUGAACCCAGUAUUAAUGCAUGGCCACCUUUCUCUCUGUCUCUAUGAACUUUCUAAUUAUUAUGGUAUUGUUACUUUGUCUUGGAAAGACGCAAUUGGAGAGAGAAAGAGAGAGGAGGAAUGUGGAGACAAUAAUAGCUAGGGUGUUGAGAUGAGAAAAUGAAACUUUAUAUUAAUUAGGUUAAUUAGGUUUGAUCGAGGGUGGUAGGAAUGUUUAAGCGCCACUUUGUCGCUCUUUUGCUUCUACUUUUAGCCGACUUAAUUUUGAAAUGAGCGUGUUCUAUGCGUCUUUUUUAGCACAAAAAAUUUUUGCAUGAAUGUAAAAAAAAAAUUAUAUCUUACUUUAAGUAGAGACUUUGACCAAUAAAUUUUUUUUAAGAGAAGGGUAGCACGCUACCCGCUUUAUUCAUUAAGGACGUGAAUUAAACUACAUGGGUGAGGUAGCAAGGCCUCGGCAAGUGACGAGAAGAUGCGAAAAAAAAAAAAGGAGGGGGGAAAAGAGGUACUAUUGGGUCAGUCGAUCUGGCGUAAGUUUCAUCCGCACGUCCUGAAAAUCGCCCCAUUCCGGAGGUCCAAGGUGAUCCACCACGCAGCUAUAAGUCCUAUGAAACGACGUACUGAGAUCGAGGAGGGUCUAUUUAUUUCAACCCAUCUGUCCCAAACCAUUCGCACAUCAUCUCCCAGGUCCCCGAGUUGGAAUUUCUCCUGGGUGUUUGCUAUAAGGUAUCUCGAGAUUACACACUGAGAGAAAAGGUGAUCGACGGUUUCCUCUUCCAGACCACACAACAUGCAUUUUGUAUUUCUAGUCCAGCCUCACUUAACCAAAUUGUCAGUUGUGAGCAGUCUCUUCUUUAGGACCAACCAGUAGAACAUUUUCACUUUUAGAGAUAAUAAAUUAGUUUGGAAAUUAUAAAUAGAACCAUAAAAUUUUGAAAAUAAAAUUUUUUAAAAGAAGUUAAGCAUAAUACUUCUUCUGAAAGCUCUACUAACACAGUAUUUCAUUCAACAGCACUGCAUUCCUUGCGCGGACGAGGGGACCAAGUUGUUUUGGCAAUAAAGUUCCGUAGUCGAUCGAAUAUCUCGGGCCGAGCCCAACACGGUAAAUUUGGGUCUGGUCAAUCCACAUCCUUCAUUUCAAAGCUCAAUUAUGGACAAAAUGCACAUGCUAAUAAAAAAUUAUUAAGGCUCAGUGCAUAAUAAAACAACCCAUGCAACUUGUCCUCGGUUCUUUGUUAAAUAAAAAAAUUACCCACACGUUUAUCCCUUAAAAAGGAGAAAAAUAAUUUAAAAAAAAAAAUCUCGCUCGACUGGGUCACCAAAUAAACUGAUCCAAAUCUAGCCUAGAGCUCGCUCGUGUUUGGCUCAAUCACACGGCUCCAGUUGCAUGCGCGGUCACUGUCUAGUCAAUCAAAUCGUGACCGCCGAUUUAAAAUUUCGAAUACGUAGGGUUGGAUUUGAAAUUGAAACUAAAGCUCUUUCCCUCCUCGAAGACGCUGCUCUAUAAAAGGAGAUCCCAUCGCCCCUAUUCCCGCGAUCUCCUCUCUCUCUCUCUCUCUCUCUCUCUCUCUCCUUCCUUUGAGCUCUCGCGAUGGAGCAUUCGAAGGCGAUCCUCGCGGCUCCCGCCCCCUCUGAAACCCUAGCCGCUUCCCAAGGCGAAUCCCUCAUCUCAGCUCUCCUUUACGGUACGAUCUCUCCCACGAAACCCUAGAUUCUUAGAUCGUGCUCAUCUUCGAUCGCGAUCUCGUGAGAGAUUUGAUCGAAAGCCGUUUUAAGCUUCUUAUAAUGAUUUCAUGCGAUCAAUCUCGUUUUUCCCGUUGCAUCAUUUGAUAUCUGAUGGAUUCCCUUGAUAUAUGUACACGGAAUUACAUAUCUAAGCCAAUCCCUAUUGAUUCGAAUUCUGCCAAAGAGGAAUUGACGUUGAAUUCUGGAAUUGAUGUUGAAUUCUAGUAGUUUUUUUAUUAAUUUCAUAACAAAUGUGAAAUUAGAUGCGUUCACUCCUCGGAUUUGUGAUUUGACAUGAAAAAAAGCUUCUCGGGAGUUCUAGUUUUGGUUAUGAGAGAUCAACGCUAGUGUUGAUGUGUUUCCACCAUACUACAUGCUCACGAGCUUUGAUUGUUGAGUAGUUCUGCAACAAACUUACACUAACGUGAAUUUUAGGGCAUAAUUCGAGUAAUUAUGGUAGAACUCUCAUAAUGGACUCUGAAUAUUAAUGAAUUAUAAAAAACUUAAUUGUAGAGUUUGGAAACAAAAUGAUGCACUCUGAUUUACUCUUCAAUUCUUGUUCAAAUGAACCUGUUCUGUAGCAAUGUACCCAUUAAGUAUACAAUAUAGUCAGUUAAGUAUAUAUGCUCAUAUUGGUAUAUGCUGUGAAUAUUUUGAGUGAUUAAUUGAUCUCUGUUCUUCAUUUUAGUAUCAGUUUUUUAAAUUAAUCCUGUUAUUUGGUGAGCAGAUGUGUCUCAACAGGUACAAGGAGCUAUUCAGAACAUGCUUAAGAUGACCAGGUGAGCUUUGUAAUGCUAACAUUAUUUAUUUUUACAAAUAAAUAAUCUAUUUGAUUGUGUGAACAAUGUUGAUUCCGAAACAUCUGAUAAAUAGUGAGAUCGAACAAAGCUCUUGCGAGAUAAUGGAAGAGAUCAAGAAAUGCAAGGAGUCCGUGGCCGUUAGAAAUAACAUCUUAGAGGAGGAGAGAGACCGUUUCAAGAAAGCCGCAAUGGCUGUGUUGGAAAUGCUUAAUGGAAGUGAGGCGCUUUGAGAGGUUUGCAUCUUCACUCAUUUUGCAGCAUAGUAGUUGUGGCUUUUAGUUGUAUAGCAUCUCAGUGAUUCCUUCCUGUGAAUUUUGAAUAUUGUGAGUAUUGGUUUGGCUUUGUAACAGACUUAAAUUUUACUUAGCUCACAUGUUGUUCUCUUAAUUGGAUGCUAUUCACAGACAGAGAAUGUGAAGAGUUUGAUAAGAACAAAAGGUGACAAACAAUCUUUUGAUCCUGUUGGCAUAUAUUAAUAAAGAUUAAUACAUCAACUCACUAUGAAUUAUUUUUGCAUGAGGAUAAUUGUUUUAUGUUGUUAUAAACGGUGAUAACAUUGAAAGAUUAAUGUGAAUUAUUUGUAUGUCAUAUAAAUGCUCCAAGGUAGGAACUAGGAAAUGUAGUUGCUUACACUCACGGCCUAAUUGUUUCUCUCAGAUGGUAGGCAAAUAUAAAGCUCUGUUAUACUUGAUUAUUUUUACUUUGUUUCUCUGAGAUGAGUUUAGCUGAAUAGAUCAGAUUAUCGAUUCUUCUUUUGCCAUCUUUCUCUUUUCCAAUUUUUAGGAGCAAAUAUUUUCUUUAUUGCCUAAUACAACACAGGAUGUUUCCCAUGCCAAUCGUAAAAUCUAGGCAUUACAAAUGGCACCUUCUCUAGUAGAGGAUUUCCUUUGUUUCCUUUAGUUUGCUGGCAUUACUAAGAUAUCUUUUCCUUCUCGCUGAGCAAGCUUUUUGGUUUUUGUGAAUAAGUAAUGAUAAAUCAUUAGAAUUAACAAGAGCAUUUUACGAAAAGAUUGAGCAUGCUUGUACUCAAGUACUUGAACAUUGAAACCAAUGCGUUGUUUAUGAAAUCAUUAAUUUAAUUCAGGUAUGCUCCCAAGAUUUGUCUGUGCGUGGAAAGGAAAUAUUGUUAUUAAUUUUUCCAUUUUUGAGGCGGCACCCUAGAUUUUUUGGACAGAUUUAUUUUCUUUCUCAUCCAUUUUGAUUUUCAUAUAAAAAAGAACAUAGUAUUAUAGCACAUCUUUGCUCAAUAUAUAUACAGGUGGAUAAUAUGAUUGCACUUCUCAAAUCUGGAUCACAAGGAUCUAUUCAAAAUUUGCAACUCAAAAAGAGUUUUCCACAUCAAAAUUUACAAAAUAACUUUCUUAUCCUCAUUUAACUGAUCUAUAUUGGCUCUUAAGUUCAUGCCACAGACAAAGCAAGGUAUCAGAAGCAUCCUCAUCCCAGCAUGCUUCAUUAAUCCCUGAAACACCCAGAAGCGUCUUUAGCCACUCUUCAUGAAGGGUUGAAAACUCUGAUCUCCCUUCGCUCGACUUGAAAUUGUCAGAGAUCUUUAGUCUCAUAUUUUGGCCAGACUUUGAAGCAGCUUCGACAAUUAUUUUUGGAAUCCCUGCCAUUUGGGCAACUUGCAAGCCAUAGCUCUCUGAGCAGGCUCCAUGAGCAAGCCGAUAGAGAAAGAUUAAUUCCCUGUCACCGUUAAAAGAGCUUCCAUUUUUUGGCAUGAAGGUGUAGGCCAUGUGUUGCAAGCUCACGUGAGGAUGCGAAGCAAAUUCUUUUGUGAGGGGAUGGUAGUGGGUAGCGAAAAGCAAGCGGCAGCAUACCCUUUCCACAAGAUGGCGAAAUACCUGGAAAUACAUUUUGGUGCUUAAGAUCUCGAACAUAACAAGUGUAUAAAUAAACAUAAGCUGAUUACUAAUGCCUUUAUGACAUGAGAAUUUAAUACUUACAGCAUAAGCAAUGGCAUAUCCAUCAAAUGUGCUUGUUCCUCUACCAAGCUCAUCGAGCAACACGAGAGAAUCUCGAGUAGCAUUUCUAAGGACUGAUGCUGUCUCAGCACACUCAACAAAAAAAGUACCUGAAAGAAAAAAAAAAAAGGUUACUAUAUUUGCAACUUGCAAUAGAGAAAAUUUACCGUGCUUUUUAGUCACCCACUUUCACCAGACAUGAUUCUAUCAGUUGCACCAAGCCUUGUGAAGAUAAUAUCGGCAGGUGACAGAACACAGGAUUCGCAAGGCACAUAACAACCCAGCUGCAAAAAAAUCAACACGGGAGGCAAAGCAAGUCAAAGACAAGGUUAAAUAUAAAUUUAGUCUCUGAAAUUUGACCCUGAUACCAAUUAUACACUGAGUUUCAAUUUUGACAAAUUAAUGCUUGAAGUUUGUUCCACAUAACGUAUGUGUUUGUGCUAGUCUACUGUCUUUGGAGAGACCAUGUCAGAAUCACUGAAUCUAAAAAAGUUGUCAUAUUAGAGUCUGCUAACUUAGGAUGAUGCUAUCGGCGUCCUACGUUCAAGACAAGAAUACUUGUUUAUGCAGGACAUAACAACUAUAACUGAAAAACAUGACAAAGCAAUUAUAGGUGUUGAACAAAAGGUCUAGAUUUGUAAUUAUCUCUUAUGUUUGUCUUCGAUAACAAGAGAAAUUAGCAUUAAAUAAAGCAAAAGCUUCUGAGUAAAUAACUAACCUGUGCCAAAAUAACAGAUAGACAGGUGGCACGCAUCAAAGUUGAUUUCCCACCCAUAUUUGGUCCAGUCAGCAGCAAAGCGGAAAGAUUUUGGCCAGUUGAAUCCUCACCAAGAGAGAUGUCGUUGGGAACUAACCCAUUCUCACAUUCUGCGAUGGCAUAUGGAUGCCACAGACCUUUCAUUCGAAGUAUGGGUCCUUUAUCUUCUUGGUUUGAUUUCAUCGAAUAUGAAUUACUACAAAGAAAAAUUGGCCUGCUCAUAGAGCAGUGUGAAGAAAUCGUGGUUGAUGCAAAGGACUGAAGCACAUCCAUGCAGUUGAGCACGUCAAUGACCUUUGACCAUUCAGUAGCCUUUCCAAUGAAGAGAUCGACUAAAACAGCUAAAGUGUCAGCAUCCGAAUCUUUCACAACAUGAUCCUAAUCAGAAUAAAAAAAAUUAGAAGAGUCAAAAUAUGAAUUGUUCUGAGUAAAUUGCAUCACUGAUACGAUUUCUAAAUCAGACAGAAUAACCAUUUCUGCAUCUCCUUUCAAUUGCAGCCACUGUUAAUUGAAUGUUAGGCGAAUAGAAAAGUGUGGAAAUUCUGCUAUAGCAGGAGGCUGAAGUGAGACCUUGAGCCCCAAAACCUUAAUUUCCAAUUCGGAGCUUUUGCUUUUGCUAUAGAGUAAACUAUUGAGGAGAUCUUAAUAUGGCUCCUCUCCUAAUAACACUACUCAAAACAACACUUCAUCAUACAAAACUACACCCUCCGGUAGAGCCCAAUCAGCUUUAAGCGUAAAAUAUGGAAGAUAUGCUAUAGAAUAUGAUGUCAAAGAGUUAAAAGCUAAGUCUAUGUGACUUGUUUACUAACUUGAUUAUGAUAGGUCAUCACUUGCUCACAUGCAGAUUACGCUGCUACUAGACCCUAUAUAGAUUAGUAUGUGUGGAGGGCUCAACGCAGCGUAUCCGCACAAUGCAGGUGGCAUGCACCACUUGUUAGAAAAACAAAGAUAACCCAAUUUAGAUGGGACAAAAAUUAGAUGGAUUUUUCAGACAAAUAACCUGGUAUUGAGGAAAGUCAUCAUCCAAAGCUACUUCAAACUGAUGCACUAGUUCGCACAGACUGCUAAGGGUUUGAAGAUUGACAACUUUUGAUAGUGAUAAGAUUUCAUGAUCUUCUUUCUGCAAAAUAUUCAGCAAGUCUAUUCCAAUUCGAAGACCUUUGACAAGAGACCCGAAUGUUUUCACCUGAAAUAUAACAGAGUCCAGAUGUUAAGAUCAGUCAAAUGGUCAUGAUAUAGCUAUCUCCUUGAGUAACAAAGUAAAAGACAAUCACUCUACAGAUAAACUUCCAAAAUGUUUAGAAAUUUACUGUACAUUAAGAGAACCACCAAAAAUUACAUUUAUUGGAUGAGUUGCACGCAAUGGGAACAUUCAAACAAUAUGUAUUUAUCAAAACACAAAUAUUAUAUAAAAGUUUACAAGAGCAGCAAUUAUUUGAGUUAAUGUGCAUAUGUUGCCUUUAAAGCACGCAAAAGAGAAGAUUAGUGUGAAUUACCCGUUGUUUUAAUACUCUAUCUCCAAUCAAAGGCAAGAGGAGAGCUGAUGAUGAACCAACAGUAGACUUAACUCGCCCUAACAGUCUCUCAAGGUCUGGAAUCCUACGAAGAUGCUGAACAACAAUAGAGACUAAACCUGAAUUUUUUAUGAAUCCCUCGACAAUAUUAAGCCUAUCGUUGAUAUCGUCAAUGUCCUUUAGCGGAUGGCAGAUCCACCUUCUCAAAAGCCGUUUACCAGAUGCAGUUAUACAAUGAUCAAGAUGUUUGUACAACGUACCUGCACCAAAAAAGAAAGAGCAAAUAAUGAAAAUACAGAAACAAUAUCUCAAACUGAAUAUGAUAACAGCAGUAGAAGCAAAUAUGUGAGUGGGAGAAAAGUUGGAUACAAACCGGAUAAGCCACCAUCAAUGUUAUUGUGGAAAAUUUCAAGAUUCACAAGAGUUUGACCAUCCAUUCUUAGGCAGCUUUUGUAGAUGUGGUAAGGGGAAAGUUCGCCAUUCCUAAGAGCAUCAUCUAGCUGUUUGCAGAUGGCAAAAUUAGAAUCAAAGAAGGAUGUUCAAGCUGUAACUAAAUCCCAGAAGUAUUACUCAAUAGUUUUAACGGAUAAAUCAAAAUCCUCAACAAGACCCUUUCGCAUGGAGGUCCCAAUUGGUUAAUAUGUAUAGGAUAAUCAAACAGUUUCUGAAAACAAUACAAAAAAAGGACUACGACUGAAACGUAAAACUAUAAACAUACCGACCUGUAGAAAAGAGAAAUUGGAGUUCAUAAGACUGUUAAAGGUAAAGUAUCCAGAUAUUGAUACAUAGUCCCUAAACCUUCGCUUUAAACACCUAAUUCUCAAGAAGCAACUUUACCUCAAUCCCUGAACUUUCUCAUAUAUUGCAAUUUAUCCCUAAUCGCUAAAAAAAUCUGACUACAUGAAUUUUCGAGAGCACUGAUUUUUAACCCUGUUUCAAGAUCACUGAUUUUUAACCCUGUUUCAAGAUCACUGAUUUUUAACCCUGUUUCAAGAUCACUGAUUUUUUAACCCUGUUUCAAGAUCACUGAUUUUUAACCCUGUUUCAAGAGCACUUAUUUUACAUGAGAAGGGGUCAAAUGGGCAGUUUAUAGAAUUCUUUGAUGCUCAGGGAUGGAAUAUUGAAACAGUACAACAACUAUCUGCAUAAUUUACCUUAAACCUAUUUCAUACUUUAGCUAAUUUAAGGGAUGUCAGACUAACUAGGAAACGGAAAGAAAAGAGGAAAAGAGAAAUCACCCUCACCAUAAGCCUGGACAGGUGGCCAACUAGUCCACCAAGAGCAGACAUAACAAGGUCAUGAUUCCCCAAAGAAUCAAGAGCUGAAAACCAUGAGUCUGACAAUGCUCUAAAAUACCCUUUAGUAUGUAUCAACUUUCGAACUUCAGCGGCUUCCAAGAAAUCUGCGCUAGGUAGUGGUGUCAGUUGCAUCUUAACGGAACCUGCAUUUUAAGAGAAAUUAAUAGAGCAUUUUAUAUGUGGUUCAAUGACCAAUGGCAACUGACCACCACUAUUCAUUGUAAAUAACAAAUAUGUUCUAAGAUACUACUUCACCACCGAAUCAUAUUUGAGGCUCUACUCCUAUUAAUUAUAAUUUUUCCAAUCUCACAUCAUCCACUCUAUAAACUUUUCUAACAUCUUCACCAUCUUGUUUCAAUGACAACCAAAAGACCAUCUAUGAGCCUCCAUAUAUACCUUGUCAAAUAAUCAAGUGUUGGGUUUGUGCAUAUUGUAUUGAUCAAAAGCUAAUGCUCUAUGUCCAACUCUGGUCUACUCCAGAGUCAUCACCAUCUCAACAAGUUUCAACAUACCAAUAAGAAUCUCGAAAUUAUAUUUCUUGGGGUAAGAGGCACGAGAUAAGAGGCACAAGAUAACUCAAAUGAGUCAUAUAUUUAUCAGCUGUGAUUAAACUAUUUUGCAUGACCAUCAAAGAGUACUAUCUGAUAAUCCAAACAGUGCUUACCUGCUGAAGCAUAUUUAGUGAGUGCCAUGUGAGUUUCUUUAGAAAGCCCUGAGACAAUGAACUACCAAAUUUUAGUUUGCAAACCAACAACUUAAUAGAAAGUCCUUUUGUUCAAAUCUGAGUUAUAUAGCCUGAGAUAAUGAAACAACAUUCAACAACUUAUUAAGUCCAUUUUUGGCUCAAACCUGAACUUUCAUAGAUUACUUCUCUUGGAGAAACCUGCAAAAAGGAUGCAUUAAUAAAUUGUGGAAGUCCAUUGGACCAAGAGAAUCAGAUGAACAGGAGAACUUACUUGCAUCAGCAAAGCACCUAUAGCUGCACAAGAAUCAUCAUCAAAGAUGGAGCCAACCCAAAAUUUCAGAGAAGCAUGAUCCAGAAAAGCAAAUCCAUAUUCAGUUGAACCUUUCUCAGAAACCCUAUUUCCCUAUACGUAAAUUGGAAAGAGAAAAAUAAAACCUUGUGUGAAAUACUUAAAGUAUGCAUUUACGACCAGCAUUACACUUUUGUCAAAAGACUGGCGUGACACAAUUUGGAAGGUUUAAAUCAGUUUGAUAAGUGUAUGUCAAAUCCAAGAGAAAUAGCAACUCCACCAAAUGCUAACUAUAAGAUAAAAAAUCUGUGAAAUUAAAACACCUCUUUUAGAGCAAGAAGGUGGACGGCAUCUGGUCCCACGCUGCCAUCAACCAAAGUUGAUGGUGUGGAUACAUGAACUAACUUCCUCUGUAUAACCUGAAGAGACAACGUUUAUAUUACAACAUAAGAUAAAACAAACAGAUAAAACAAUUGGACGACCUUUAUAGUCUGAAACAAAUAAAACAAACAUAUGGAAUCAAGCCAAUUGGGCACUUAAGCACAACAAUUCUGGAAGGAUCAGAUCUGUACAACAUCUUAAUAAAUAACUACAAUAGUAAAUGAACCUGAAAUGCAUCUUAAAUCAUCACGAAGAAGAGUUUAAGAGAUAAACUUACCACUGCAUCUUCUCAACUAAUUUAUUGUUUUUAGCAAAAGGUAGUGAGUAACCUAAUUCAUUCAUCUGGCCAAUGAACAAGACUACAAGUUUGUCAGAUUAUUGGACAACAUUUAUAUUCUGAAACAGAUAAAACAAACAUAUGGAAUCAAAAUCCAUUGGGCACUUCAGCACAACAAUUCUGGAAGGAUCAGAUCUGUACAACAUCUUAAUAAAUAACUACAAUAGUAAAUGACCUUCAAAUGCAUCUUAAAUGAUCACGAAGAAGAGGUCAAGGGAUAAACUUACCACUGCAUCUUCUCAACUAAUUUAUUAUUUUUAGUAAAAGGUAGCAAGCUACUUGCUUCAUUCAUCUGGCCAAUGAACUAGACUAUGAACUAGACUACAAGUUUGUCAUAUCACCAAAUUUUUAGCGACUGGAAACGUAUUCAAUAACUAAAAUAGCCUAUGAGAAAAGAAACACAAGAAAAAAGGCAGAACCAAAGAAUCCUUCAAUUUAGAUGACGGAUAGUCUAUGUGAUACAAAAGCUUAUAACUAAAACUAAAAGACAGGACCAAACUCUUGGAACUAAGCAAAGUGAUAGAAAGCUACAGACAAUAUUUACACUAGAGAAAAAUAAAAGAACUGGCAGACUAAACAUUAAGAUGUCAUGGUAUCGCAUGGAGUAUGCUUUUGAUAUUGAUAGGAGGAAAAAUAGCAAAAAUAUCCAUUUAAGUUUGCUAAUAGGCAUCGCUAGAAGAGAACCAAUAAUGUAUUGUUAGAUCUUUAUUACUUACAGAAUUUGGUCCUCUAGCUUUGGCCUGGUCAGAGGUCUCUAGCUGCUCAAUUCUUCCAACUUUAUACCUACGAUCAAUGUAGAGAUUAUAAAUAACUGGUAGAUAAGAGGAUUGCCAAAGUAAUUAUGUUUCACAGGGCAUUCAACAGUAGCAUGACUUUCUGCAUAUCAGGAAACAAUUGGCUAGUUAAUUACUAAAAGAGUUUCCAAUUGAAAUUUUGCAUCUUGAAUACAUGCAAUCAACUAAGAAAAGACAGGACAAGUGUCCAAUAUAUUGUGAUAUAUGAAAGAACAUGUGCCUUCUAGCUAAUAAUGGCCUGACAAUAUAAGUGCAAUUGCAUAGAGAAUUCAAUUAAGAAACUGAGGAUGAAUCCAGAAAACAAGUUCCUUACCCUCGAGCUAUAAGCUUCUGAACAGCUUCAUCAAUGCCUGCUUCAGAAAUACCAACCUGUACAUGACGAGCAUGGAUGAGAAGUUGUAUAAGCAAUGAUGGUUUGUUGUAAAAACUGGAGUAUUGAGUCCUUGCUCCCUGAUUGUAUCAAUAACCAAUGAACUAAGAAAUGUUUUUCAAGUUGAGGCCUCAUAAAUACAUAUUAGCUGUCAACAAUCUCAUUAAGCUGGUGGGUGUAAAUAUUACCCUCAUGGCUGAUUUUGACCAUCGAAAGCAUGAUAUAAUGCAGUGGAAGAAACAAAGCAAUUGCGCAUGUGAGUGCCGUUGAUCAGAAGUGUGCAAGUUAGAUGAAAAUCAUGAGGCCAAAUAAUACGUCUUAGCUACAUAAAAAUAAACAAUACGUCUUAGCUACAUAAAAAAAAAAGAGUCUUAGCUACAUUACACAAUACUGCUAUAAUAAACAUGGCUUUUCCUUUUAAGCAUAUAAGAGAUGUACCUGUCUGCAUUUGCCCACACCACUAAUAGUCAUUUUCCAGUCAAGCUCUUUCUGGCCAAUCUCAGCAUCUAGCUCAUACAGCUCAUAAAAUUUACCCUGUGAAUUAGGAAAUACAAAUAAUGAGUACAAACAAUGCUCUAGAUAUUUAAUUUCCUUGGUGAAACUGCAAGCCAGCCUGCUUUGCUAAAAACCAAAAGAGCCCGCAAUGCCAGUAAUAGAAAAUGUGAAAGCUGCUUUUGAUGGAAAGAAUUAGCAAUAAAAGAAGCAUCAUAGAAUUACAAACAAUUAGGACAAGCAAAUAACAAGCGAAUAAAACAAGCAAUGAAAAGCAUAUUCUAGGAUUGAAAUAGAAUAAAUUCAUCAACAGUUCGAGAUGAUUAAAAAGAGGUAAGAUGCAUAUGUAUUUUGGAUCCACAAUUUACCUAUCUGGUUUCACAUGUUAUAGACCAGAAAAGAUUUUGUUUUAAAAUUUUGAGAUACACCAAUAAAUGAUCAAAGCCUCACCAUUCCAGUCGAACUAAACUUAACAUAAGAGUCAUUUCACUCUAUAAAAUUCUUCCAUCCACUUGCGACUCCAGGAGUAAAGCAUCAUAAUUAGUGUACCAUUAAAUGAAAUAAAUUUAUGAUUGUCACUUUUAGUGAUAUCUAAUAUAUCAGUUCUCUUUUUUGGUUCUCAAAGAGCCUAUCAUUUGGCUGUCAACUAAAGAAUCACGUAAAAAAACAUAUGGAACCAUGAGGUUAUAUAUGGCAUACAAGGCAAUUUCUAAUAAAACAAAUAGCCGAUUGUGAGUUUAGACAGGACCGUGUAACCAUUUAGCAUGUAAUUGCAACAAUUAUUGCCACAAGAGAGUUAACAAUUAUUUUACCAAGUAAAUAUUGUUUUCCACAUCAAAGAAUUUUGCAGAUUACAUAGGAUAUCAUAAUAAUUCAUUAGAAACUUACUACUUUGAAAAAGAGGACAACAUCCAUGUAUUUGCAUUUCUCGCUCCAAUACUGCUUUUGAGAUGCUGACAUCUUUUUCAAUGCAUCAGGUGGAAUGUAUAGAGUUCUCUUGUCAUAAAAUGGGUCGUCUGCUCGCCUUCCAUUUGCAUCUCUAAUUCUGGAAGGAUUGAGCCACUCAAAUUUGCUGCUUACACUUUCAGAAGCUUCACUUUGAGCCUUCUUUUCAAUUAGAGAAUCAUGAAGUGACUUCGCCCUUUUGCUAGAACAUAGAGAGGGAGAGCCCUGCUUAUUGUUCAUGUCAAGGCAAUCUUCUUGAACCCGCUUGAAACGAGGAACACGCGGCCGCAUAGCUGGGGUUUCUGGGCCCAAAUUAUCUGCAUCGAGAUCAAAUUGCAGAGGACCUUCUCCAUUGAAGUCAGUGGAAGACACCGUAAUGAACGUCUUUGAACGUUCUGUCAAAGGAGUUUCAGUUUUUACACAUUCACUGCUCUCACCAAGAGGCCUGGUGUCAAAAUUCAAGGAACCAGAGGCCUCUUUGUUUCUGCAAAUCAUAGAAAAAGAGUUAGGAUUUUUCAUGGAGAGCAACUUAAUAUAAGUAUGUAACUACAUUACAUGUGAUACAAUAAGAUAGUGUUUAAGAUCAGUAAUCCAGUUUUAAUGAUAGCUUCUCGUCGGUACCGUCCGAGCACCAGAACACCCUUUCUACAUUCUGGUGGAAAAAAAAAGGACGAACAAUAAGGGCCUAAGGGGAAAUCCAUAGAGAAUACUCCGUUACUCCACACUCAGAGUUUUAGACAGGUCCAUAAAUUAAAAUAUCCUCCAAUUAGUUAAUCCAUGAGAUAAAUAUAGUCUCCAAACAAAAAGAUGCAAACUAAAUCCUGAAAUAAGUGAAUAAGCCACAUAUAGGUAAGAUGCAAACUAAAUCCUGAAAUAAGUGAUAAGCCACAUAUAGGUACAAUCAAGAGCUCAUUUCAGAAAAGGAGAAGACGUAGAGCUGGAGCAAUCGUUAACCUAGUUCAGGAAGGAACACGUACUCCCUCAUUAAGUAUCGUCAGAUAGUUCCAUAGAUCUAAGCAUCGUUUAAUUCGUGAAUCAAUGUUAUGUAAUUCAUACUCCAAACAAAAUGAUGCAAACUAAAUCAUGAAACUAAGUAAGAAGGAACGUAGGAAAACGAUCGAAAGCUCAUUUUAAUUCUUAAAAAAAAGGAGAACGAUCCAGAGCUGGAGCACUCGUAACCCUAGCUUAGCAACGCACACAUACCCCUUGAUCGAGCUCUCCGAUCUGUUUCCUCUAGCAAACUUCUGCAUGAUGCUCGAGAUCGGCCGAGCUCCACCGCCUCCGCCAUUGUUCGCCGGGAAAAAUGGCCGGCGCAACUUCUCCGGCGGCGUAUCGGUCCCUCGGAUCUCGGGGAACGCAUCGCGGAGCGGCUUCUCCGCUACGGAGUCCACCGGCGGCGGAUUCCGGCGGUGGAUGGGAUCAGGAUUCGGAGAAGCUCCGCCGUGGGAUCUCUCCGUCUCCGACGAGGGCCUGCGGAGGAAGGAGAGGAUGGAUCUCUGGCGCUGCAUCGUCGCUCUACUCUACUAAAGAGAGGAGAAGAGGGAAAGCCUUUUCACGGUGGAAGGGUUUGGGGAUCGAACAUUUUGGAAUGGCUACUUCGGGAGUGGGUUUAUAUAGGGAAGCGGGGAAGUGGGAGGUGUUUGGCGGCAAUGGAAAUUGGAAUCAGAAAAAAUUCGAAAAUUAAGAAAAUUAAUGCCGUAGAGGGGAAUGAUACGAGUUUGAAAGUGACGAGACGAUUCAGUGUAACGGUCGUAUACUAACGAGCUCCGAGUGAUGAUGGUCGGCCCAAACCGUAGCUGAAAUGGACGGAGUGGAAAACGGGCCGGGCCGGUGCUGAGUCAUUUUGAACUCGAUCCUCUUCCCCUACGCUGAGCACAUAUGGUCCGAGCUUCAUUUCGGCUCGCGAAACUGCAAGUUCACGCCGUACAUCAACAAUCGUCACCGAUGUGUGAGUACCUAUUGCGCGCCACCAAUUUAUACUAUCAUCCAUCACCCAAUCAAAAUUGACCAUCAAAUCUUUUAUCAGAGACGAUUGGUAAUAAUUUUGUCUGUGCACAUUAGAGCGGUUUAAAAUGUUCUUCAACAACAAAAUGAGCCCAAGUUUGGCCGCUCUCGUGAGUUUAUGACCAGAGAAAAAAAAAAUAUUAUCAACAAAAAUUCCUCAAAUGUCUCCAAACAAAGCAGAGAGUAAACAACCGGAAUGUACCUUUUUCCCAUUAAUCCCUCUCCAAAAAUUGAGUCGCCUACUAUGCAACAAAGAACCUUAUACAUAUUUUUACUUACCAUGAUUUCCUAAGCUCGUUUUGUGCUGAAUGUGGAAAACUCUCCAAAUAUACUGAUUGGCCUUUAGUAUAGUCAGAUGAUAUCCUUCAUUUCACCUGAAUCCAAAUGAGGGAAAAGGUACUGGUCAAGUUGUAACGUAAAACAGACUCGAUAUUUACUGUCGUAUGCUGAAACUUACGAAAUGAGCGCAAUAAUAAAAUUUUCAAUAGGCUGUAUUGAUCAUCUGAAAAACUAGCUUGAGUAUCACACAAUAAUGUACUAAUGCGGUUCAAAUUUCUGUAAUUGAGGGUUCACUUAUUGCUGCGGGUCAGGUCAACCCCAAUAAUUAUAAUUUAUACUCGUUUUACAUGUAAUUCUUAUUAUAUUCAAUGAAACGUAUAGGAAAUAUUCUAUACAUUCCUAUUUUAAAAAAAUUGCAAGAACAAGUUAGGGACCCGUAAAACAUUUCACUGUGUUACCAUAGUAAAUUCCAUCAUUAGCCCCCUCUCUACCUGAGCAAAGCAAUGCAUUUAGGGUGCGUUUGGUUCACGCUAUCUUUUAAAGAUUCCUAUUAAUCCAAUGGGAAUAAAAAAAUAUGACGGUAUUUGGCUAAACGCACUACAUAAUCUAGUUGGUAAUAUUGGAUUCACUUGGGAAUAAGAUUCACCCCAAAGUAUUAAUCUCAUUCCCUUGAGGGAGGGUGAGUAUCCUCAUAUUAAUGGAUUGGGAUAAUCAUAAUAUAUCUAAUCUCUUUCUUUCUUCCCACCCGCCGGCUAAUUGAUAUUAUUUUUCUUUACACUCUAACCUUAUAUCUCUCUCUAAACUUAUUUUUCUCGUUAAAAUUCAACUUUUUUUUCUCUCUCUAAACUAAACUUUCUCUCUCUCUCUUUCUAAAAUCCCAACUCUCUCACUCCCUCUAAUUUUGACUAUAUUUUUCUUUCUUUUUUUUAAUUAUGCUCUCUCUCUCUCUAACUUAUACUCUCUCUCCAUUUUUUUUAAAAUUAUGUUGAAACUUUUGGUAACAUUAUCUAAAAUUAAUUAAAUAAAAAAAUUAAUUAAUUGUAUAUUUUUUGUAAUAUUAAAUAACAUGCCUAAUUAAUAUUACCGUACGAACCAAACACAGAAAUUUUAUAUUCUUAGUAAUAGAAUGAAUAGAAAUAAAAUUCUCGGAUAUCUUUUAUUCCUAAUAAUCUUUCAUAAUGCGAACCAAACGCACUCUUAAAGUGAUCACAAAGAGAUGAAUGGAGCUUUUGUAUUGAGUGAAGUUGACGCAUAAUAAGUCUACUCUGCUGUCGGAUUAGGAGUACCAUCUGAUUUCUGUGUCCAUUGGCUCACUGUUCUGCUCUGGGGCCGCAUUGUUUUCUUGAGGCUGCCGCCAUUGCCGCUCGAGGUUGGGGUGUCUCACCAGGAGGCGGGGUUUGUGGCUUAGUUGGUGGCGGCCUUGGCUUUGUCAAAACCUGUCCAGUAGGUGUCGUAUGAACAACUUUUAACUGGUUGAUUUGUAAUAAUUCAUUUUGAUCGGAACAACUUGUUUUGUCCAAAUUCUCUGAUGUUUUGAUAUAAAUUAAAAAAAUAUUUCUCUUACUUCGGAAAUAUUUCUAGAACCGAAUACAGUCAUAGUGUUUGUGUAUAUAUGGUUGAGAGCACAUACUUUAAAUAAGACACAGAUUUAGUACCUGGGAAGUGCUUCGAAAGUAAAAUCAUAGUAAAUAUUAUUUUUCCGCAAAUACAUUUGUGACUGUAAAAAUAUUUACACUCAUGCUUUUAAAACCUUCUUUUAUUUAUCUACAUGUAUACCCUACAAAAAAGUAUUCGUGCAAUUUGUUAUAAUUAAUGUAAGUAUAGAUACUUCCACUGCACAAAAAAUUCAAAAAUUUUCAUAAGAAGAUUUACGAAUAUUAGCUUUGUAGGGAUAUUUUAGGCAAAUUUAAUUUGGAGGAGUGAUUUGUAUUAACAUAAAAAGAAAACUUUCGAAAAUGAGGGGGUGAAAAUAGGAGACAGGUUCCGGCGGGAAAUCUCCCACAUUUUCCAAAAGUUAAUCUCCGUUCCCUCCAAUCUCCAUCGAUUCUCCUCCACGCCUCCUCUUCGCUCUCCUCUCCUCUCCUCCUCUCAUCGUCCUCAAAUCCCUAACCCAACCCCGCAAUUUUUCCUGCGCCUUUUCAAAUUUCAAAAUGGCGGAGAAGCGCGCAAAGCGGAGCGUGGCGAGCCACGCGAUCCCUGAGGAGGACGUGGUCGUUCUCGACGAUUCGAGCCCUUCUCCUCCUCAUCAUUCCGGAUCUCAAAUCGCUCGGCUUCAGCUUCGACGCCGAUGGGAGCUCGCCUCGGUUCUUAACUUCUUGCAUGUAAGAUUGAGAUCGAUUUGAUGACCUUUUUUUUUUUUUGUUUUUUUCCUUUUCUUUGAUGUUUGUAGUUUUUAAUGCUUGGUUUUGAGGUUUGAUGUUGAUUUUUUGGGGUUUAUUUAGGUUUUUGAGCCGCUGAUCCAAAGCGAUCUUAAGAUAUCUGCGGAAGAAAUCGAAAUGGCGUUGAUCUCCCCGAACGAUGCUUUGGCUCAGCUUCACAUUGCCCUUUUGAAGGUUCUAUAAGGAUUGUGGAUUCACCGAACUUUAAUUGCGAUGAUUUUGAUGAUUUACUAGAUAUAUUGGUUCAAUACUUGCUCAAUUGAGGCACGGAUUAGUACUUCUGUGAUAAGUCGAUCCGAGACAUUUUAUUUCAGUGUCAAUUUGACCAACAGCAUGUUUGUGGUUCUCUUAUUACAAAACAUAUCGAUUGAUGCAGAUGCACAAAUAAGAAAAGAGUGCUAAUUCACCAUUGUAACCUUUUAUUGUUAGGGAAUAGGAGGCUUGAACUCGGCAUUAACUGUGUGAAUUUUAGUAGACUUGCUGAAUAUUUUAAUCUUCCUCUAUGCAUGCUCUUUUGUUCGAUAGUUGGACAAGCUUGAUAUAUACGGCUUUCAUUUUCUAGCAAUAAGCCAAUAAGUUAGAAUUUUGACAUGUUCGGCUGUUAGAUGAUAAAAAUUUGUUUUACGCUGUCUCUAAAUAGAACGAAUUCAUAUAUAAUUAGAUGGGAGGGAUGGUUAAUCUACAAACAUGACUCGAUAUUCAUUUUCAAAGCAGAUCUUCAAGUAUGCUAUAUGGUCGCCUAUGAAUGAUAUUCUUGUGCUCAUGUUUUCCAGUAGAAGUUUUCGAGUUUCUGUUUAUACAUUUGCAGAAGUGUAAUUGUUAGAUAAAUGCAGAAUAUGUAUCCUGAGAAAUCCUACCGAUUUUUUGAUGCCAUAUUUCUCCAAAAAAACAAUUGUGUGGCCUGUUAUAAUGUGCAAUUAAGCUGGUCGUUAUUUUCUUUUUCUUUUUGGCAGAGUGCACCAUCAAUAGAAUAUCUAGAAAAUAUGUUGACUGUGAUUUUUUUUCUUUUAAUUAUCAUAUAGGGAAUACCGCCAGUACACAGAAGUCUUACAGAAUCUGGCGCAUGGGUAACAGCAACCUGUAAAAAACUGGCUGAAUGGUGGCCGUGGGUACGUUUGAACUGUAUGAUAUUAAUUAUUGAGUUCAUAAUUUUUAUUUAUGAUGCAAAUACGAGUGCUUAAAGUACCUUCGCAUUUACGCAGGUUGCUGAAGGUGAGAACCCACUCAAAGCUGAUCAUGGGUAUGCAUUAAUUAAGUUCUCAAUACCCGUUUGUUAGGUCUUGUUGAAGCUUAUCACUAUGUGUGGGUCAAUCAAUACUCUUCUUAUUUUUGCAGACGGGAGAUAACUUUGUAUGGACAACUCGAUCCUGAAACUCGUUUGCUAAUGUUAAAAGCACUUUGUGAAGUUCGCACAGAAGUAAUUCUUCUUCCCUUGUGGAUUUAGUACUUUGAUAUUUGAAUUUGAACUUUGACGUAUGAUAUGCAUGCAUACCUGUAUUGUUGGUUAGAUUACAGUUUGUGUUUCUGCUUAUAUUGCUUAUGCAUCUUAUCUUUAAUGGGUGGCUAAUGCUGAAUUUGGACUUUUAACUGCUUUUUUGUCUGCUAGUGGCUUCAAUGAGAAUGAAGAAUGCAACAAUGCUUGAGUUUACUUUGUUUUCUAUGAAGUUUUUGCUGUGUUAACAUCCAUAUCAAUGCAGCAAGAUGAUGUGCUGAGAUAUAUCACUGACGAACUGAAAACGGGAACAGCAGUUAGUACUUUCCGUAAAGAAAGGAUAGCAAGCGAUGGCAAUGGAACUACCUACUGGUAAUAAAUGGAUGAUAAAUCUCUGUAGGUGUUUGGCAUUUCAAAACCUAUAUCAGAUGAUUUUAUAAAUUAAAUUACACUUUUGUCCAUUUUUGGAGUUAUGCUCUCAGCUCACAAUAUGUUUAUGGGCUAUAGUCACAAUACCUGGAAGAUGUAUUCUACUAUUCUGUACAGUUGCAGAGAGUUUUAUGUACUAGUAGAUGGAUGCAGUAACUGUGUGCAUGGGAUUGACCUACUUUCCUCCUGGUCAUAAGGUAUGAUGGAGAUCCAGUCAUUGGUCAUCGGUUGUAUAAGGAAGAAGUUAAAACCAAUUUCAAGCAGGAUUGGAGGGCCAAGGGCACACUACCAGCUAAUGAUUUUCAAUGGGAAACAAUUGCGACUGAUCUCAAGGAAUUUCGGGAGAUAUCAGUAAGGCAACUUUAUUUAAUGCUGUCUAUGUAGUUUUUCCGAGUGUGUGUGAUCUUACACUUAAUCCAUUGGAAUUUCAGGAGAAUCUAUCAUCUAGCAUGGUUUCAGCAGAAGCUGCAGUUGGGGAGAUUGUUAAAGUUGAAAUAAUUCCCCUUCUUGAGGAAGUUCAAAAGGUGGAAGUCAAGAUUAUCUCACCUUUGAAUUACUAAUGGCCUAUGUUGAAUUCCCAAAAUUACAGCCAGUUAACACCUUGUCUAUCUUGUUGCUUUUCUUUUUUUUUUUCCCUUUGAGACUAAUCGCUAACUUCCCCAUUUGGAACCACUAACAGAAGAAGGAAAGGGCAUUUAAACGCCAACAAAAGCAAGCAAUGCUGUUAUACAAUUCUCAGAGUUCUCAUGGAAUUAGAACUUUCCGAUGUCGCCGUCAGCGUAGGCCUGUGAACUAUACUUUUGGUAUGAUUCAUACUGAUAUACUCUAGGAUUGCUUCUCUUAAAUUUCUUGUUGCAGGUUUGCUAUAAUUAACUCUCUAUUGUAGGAAAACUUACCUGACAUCCUGUAUUACUUUAAUUAUUGUCAGUAUUAUAACCAGGGAAAAGUGUUCCUGCAAUACUGAUUUAUCAUCUUUCUUGUUUUCUGACACAGAUGAUUUUGACCGCUCUAUAAGUGAGGCUAUCGAGAUAUCAAAGUGAGUAUGACACCAUCCUCGAAAGCUUUAAUUUUCUAUUUAUUGGUUCUUCUUAAUUGUACCAUACGACAGAUUUUCACUCAAAUUGAGUGCUAAAGACUAAUGACCUGGUUUCUACUUUCUACACAAACAACCUGUUCUGUUAUUCUGUUAAGCCUAGAAAGCGCUUUGAGCCUGCCAUGCUACCAGAGUCUAAAGAUCUUAUAGCCAUCUUCCAAAAUAAGAUAAGCAUUUCAUUUUCCAGCCAAACAUAUGAUAUCUUCCCUGCUGUAGAAAGAAAUUAAUAAUGAAGUUUGUGCCUUUUCUAUCUGAAAUCCUAUCAUUUUUCAAUUCAAACUUAGACACUCUUAUUUUAUUGUGCAUAGACUGUUUAUAGAGCUUUCACUCUUGUGCUUUGUAACGAAGUGGGAACCUUUUCUCCUUGAUCUUUUGUAUCACAUUCCUACAAUAGUAGAGAAACAACAGAAGGAAAGCAUCACACUCUACAGUAUAUGCUACUUAAGGUCAAAUAGAUUGUGAUUUAGAUGGGCUUGAAGAACUUGAAAAUUAGUGGUUUGACUUCAUGCUAAACAAUAUGGCUUAACUCUUCAUCAUGAAAUAUCAGUGCAUUUCUUUUGUUGUGCUAUUUUGUUUUUCCUAAAAUUGUGGUUUCUUAACUGCAAUUACAGGAAAUCUCAAUCCGACAGAUUACAUAAGGAUGCCGGGAAACAAGCUCACCAUGUGUCAACCAAGAAGUCAAAACCCUCUAAUGCAGCUCUCUCUCUAGACGAAGUAAACUCUAGUCCAGAGCAUGAUGGUGUUGAUGCUGAUGAUGACAACAAACACGAAGAAAUCAUCAACCGUGAUAAUGAUGGUGAUGAUGAUGAUAAUGAUGAUUGUGACGACGGCGACUACAAUGAGAAUGAUGAUAAUCAUGUUGAAAAUGAUGAUGACAAUGAUGAUUCUCAUCCAAGCGACUCUAAUGAGGAGAAGAAUGUCCUUCCUGCGCGAUCAAAGCUAGCUGGUCAUAAUAGAUUAAGCACUAAGCCUAAAGCUAACAUAGUGCUUCGCCGGAGUAGAAGAAAUGCAACUAAGAGUGAUCACAUUGAAUGUCAGGGAGAAGUUAUUAGUGAUGCGGAGACAAAAAAAUUGCUGAGGCAAAGGCCAACAACUGAAUCUGACUUUGGUGGUGACACUGUUGUUUCAGACUCCGAAAAUGAACGCCCCGAUUAUGAACAUAUUGUGGUCUCGGAUACUGAGGACGGGAUUUCAGUUUCUAGCGAUGGAUCUAUGGAAGCCUACAAGUGAUUAUCGUCGACGAGUAUGCUUUUGCUUUUUGUGGAGUUUCUAUUUUGUGGGUAGUGAUCAUGGAAUGAAAUAUGAAUUGCUCCUUUUUGGUAAUGUAAUAUGGCAAAGAAGUAGGCUUCGUUCUCUGUAGUAAGAUAUACAUGUAGGAAGGUUACUAAUAUUUUGGUAUUCUAUAGAGCUAGAACAGUUUAAGUAGGUCUCUUUGUACAUGGAUUAUCUCGUCUUUUUUCAUUUAACAUUACAUGAGCGAGCACUUAGAUAGUAGAUAAUUUUAAUUGGAAUUUGUAGCUAUAACUCCAUUCGGGGAGGAUUGAGGCCCAGCCUACAAUGCCCGGGCUUAAAUUUUCAUUCAUUUGCUCGAGCCCACAUGGGUCUCCUAUUGAUGUGGCCCAGUAUUUUAUGGAAACCAUAACUUUUUAAUUAUAGUAUUGGCUUAUAUUAUACUAAAAGUUUAUGGCAACUAUUCAACUAUAGCCAAUUAUCGAAUUUUAUUUUAUUUAAUAUUAAAAUUUAAAACUAAAAUAAUACGCUAAAAUAAUCUUUAUAUAAUGCCAUCACACCAAUAUUUCAAAUUCAUUUUUUUUUUUUAAGAUUCAUAAAGACUUCUCACGUGAAAAGAUAUGUGCCUACUGAAUGACCUACGAAUAGAAAAAUGCACAACUCUUAUCACUUGUAUCUCAUGGCCAUACGGGCGCUGACAUCUAUGUUAUGCCAUUCCGUUUUUUAAGCCCCCGUUUGGUUGGGGGUUAAGGGGUGGAAUAACCCCUUAACCCCCAAUUUAUACCCAAACAUCAUGAAAAAAGGGUGGGGUUUACUAACCCCACCCCCUUCCCAACUUUAACCCCGCACGCAUCCCGAGCCCUCACCUUUUUUCUUAUUUAUCAAUCAUUAUCUUUUUAUCCCACCUACUCCAACCAAACACAAAAAAAUUUUAACACCACUUUAACCCUGAACUUAACCCUAUCCCUGGUAUAGCUACUUUUUCCUUAACCCCGAACCAAACGGAGGCUAAAGGAUUAAUUACACCAGUAAUCCCCAACCUUUUCAUCAAUUCUUAUUUGGGUCCCUAACCUUUUUUUUUUUUUUGCAAUGAGUGUCUAAUCUCUGGAUUUCAUUUCAAUUAAGUCCCAGCCGUUAGAUAGGUGUUAAAAUUGACGAAAAAUGCCCACGUCAGCACCAUGCAUGUCAGCGCGAUGGAGGCACCAUGUUAGCACCACGGUGGCAUUGUGUCAGCGGAUUGCAAAAAAAAUUUAAUAUUAUUUUUAAUUUUAAAUUUAAAAUUUUGAAUUUUUAUUUUUAGAGACUAAAGUAAAAAAUGUGCAAAGUUUAGAAACCUAAAUUAACAUGCAAAAGUAUGCCAAAUAAGCGUUGACGUGGUGAUUCCGUUAAUUUUAACAGGUUUUUUAAUGGUUGGGUCUUAAUUGUAAUAAAUCAAGAGAUUAGGAACACAAUUGCCAAAAAAAAAAAAAAAUUGGGGACCCAAGUGAAAAUUGAUGAAAAGAUUGGGGACUACUGGUGUAAUUAACCUUUUUUUUUAACAGGCAUUAGGUCCUAGACCAAAUUGGUAAUUGCUCAUAUUUGUUACAUACUUACAUUGGUUAAUAUAUCAGCGGCAUUAAUUAUAAUACUAAGUUGCCCGGAAAAUAAGCACCCGCCUGUGAACGCGGCUCCGUUUAGGGAGAAAUCAACGCAUAGACCACGGUCUAUAUAUUUUAUAUCCAAAAUAUAUACGCAUAAAAAAAAAUGUUUAAAAAGCUAUUACUCACUGUGUGAGAGGAACAUUACGAAGUUUAUGAUCUUUAAAAUAUAAAUAUAUAUUAAAUGCUCUAAUUAUAUCCAACAGUUCAAAUUUAGAUUUUUUUACGAUUUUCGAUUUGAGCAGUUUUUUUUUUUUUCACAGCUCUCAGAAACAAAAAAAAAAAAAAAAACACCCGAACGUUAAUAUAAUCGCAGCAAAAAGGAAGUCUCAAAAAAAGAAAAGAAAAGAAAAGAAAAAAGCACGUCACUCCACCACCGGCAAACGCUGACGUCAGUCCACGUCAUCCACCGGAAUCCGGCGCCGGUGCUCCGGCGAGCGGUUCUUCGCCACGUCAGCAAAAGCCCUGAAAAUAUACUUGUAAACGCUCUUCUCGUUGAGCUCCAGGUAGCAGAAGAGCAGCUCCUCCAUGAACCCCCAGUAAUCAUCCAACGGCUCCCCGCUCUCCACGUGGCACGCCGCGGCCACCAUCUCCAUCAUGGACGCACGGAAAUCCGCGCACGGGUCGUCAGAGUACGCCACCGCGGCGACGCCCCCGCACUGCACCGCCACGCGCGGGGUCACCACCGCGGCGGCAGCAACAUCCGAAAAUGACUUGUAAACUUUAUUACGACCGUCCUUCAUUGGUAAUUCCCCGCGAACUUCUUCGUUCAGCGGUUUAUACCGACGCAUUACUAAUUCCGCUGGCGUAGGUCUACUCGUCGCUAACACGUCGGCUGCGGUGGUGGCCCCGCUCAGCCGCGCCUCCUGGAUUAGAGAGCCUGUGGCGGCGGGGGCCACGAAGAAGCGGGCAGAGGCGCAGACGGAGCCCGGGGAGAGGUCCGUGAGGCGCGGGGACUCGUCGGUGGGGCCGUACGAAUACGUCAUGCCGUCCACGUCAGCAGCGCCGGCGUCCACGUCAGCACGGAGGGAGUGAGAGCUUGCGUCGGAGGAGAGGGUCCUGGGGGACUUGCACCCGGAGAGGAGCCAAUUUGUGGUUAUGUCAAUGAUGGUGGGGUUCGGAGGGGUUGGGAAGUAAUUUAAGGAUUUGUUUGGUGUGGAGUUGGAAAUGUGGCGAAGGGGUUUGUGGUGGCGCUUCUUCGCCAUUUGGUCAAUUUUAAUUUCUAUGAAUUUUGGUUAUUUUUUUUAAUCUCCUCUUAUAGAGAGGAUAUAUAGGUACAUUUAGAGCUGUAUAUAAAGGAAAGUAUUUAAGCUGGAUAUUUAAAAGUUUUUACGUAGAUUUUCUUGCCAUAGUUAUUCCGGGUAAUAUAUAGUUCUAAACAUAUGCGGGUGCAGUUUUGAGAACAUUAAGCGGGCUCUAUUAAUGGGAAUAAUAAUAACGAAGGAAAGUGUGAUUAAAUUGGAAAGGGUUACAUUGGAAAGGAAGUGGUUACUGCGUCUUUAGUGUAUCUUAUUAUGUUAAAAGCAACAUUUAUGAUUUAUGGGUUGGAUUUGGAUCUAAUUGCUGUUUCUUUGCGUUAGCUUUUAAUUGCUGAGUUUUCUGAAUGAAAAUGCUUUUACUUAUAUAGAGAAAUUAAUCUUCCUAGCCAUAUAUAUAUAUAUGUCGCAUUUUUGGAUAAAUUGUAUCUGGAAGGGCAUUUUGGUCGAUCAGGAUUGGCACUGUAUUGGAUUAGAUUCGGGUGGCUAACUAGGCUUUGAUAUGUAUCGACUUCUGAGGAGGUUUGAAAUUGUCUCUGAUACUUUAUUAUUAAAAAAUUUUGAAUUAAACUUCAGUUGCGGCAUUUAUCGAUGCAUGCACCAAUUUAGUCCUAUUAAGUUGAGUAGGAUCGGAUGGACCGGAGUAGAUUCACAAAUAGCUGUUAGAGCACAUGCAUGAAUACAACAAAAUGAGCUAAAAUUCAUGAAACCUAGCAAAAUAGCAUGAAGUACCACUUUCCACAAGAAUAUUUAGCAUGUCUCACAAUAAAUUAUCUCGCAUGCAUAUUUUAUUAUUCUAAUUAUACCAUGCAAUUGCUCUCUUCUACCAAGAGAAGUAAAGAAACAUAAGAUUAAAGGACGUGGAGGUGGAGAAUGUUAAUGAGCGAGAUACGUAACAAUGAGAGCUACAAGCAUCAACAAAUAAGUAGCAAACCGACCGUCCUUAGAGCAAGUAGCAAAGGGUUUGGUGGUUGGUACCCGAGAUUCAAGUUCGAAUUCUAGUUGAUUCAUAUUUCUAGCUAAGUUUAUUUCUAAAAUAAAAUAAACGAAGCGGGUAACGUGCUACCUAUCUCUCUCAAAAAAAAAAAAAAACAACAAAUAAGUAGCGAUCCCUUGAUCGAUCGCUUUGCUGUCGCUGGUCAUAGAGGAAAUCAGAGCUUCGCCAUGUACGAACUGCGCGUGAACGCUGAUAAGAAGUAGGUAACAGCGAGCAUUGUGUGCGCUUCAGUAGACCUCAUCGAUCAGAAGAUUAUAGCUAAUGAAACUGACCAACUUAGACCAAAUUAUAUAGAUUGAGAAUUUAUAAUUGUGCUAAAAAGCUAUAUAUGAAGCUUUUGAAUUAGGUGAUCAGGUCAUGUAGAUAGCAAGGAGAUGAGAGUGCUACGUAUAGAUUGUUCUCUUACAUGCAAAGCACCCCUUCAAUUUGGUUUAUAUAGUAGUGGCGGGGCUAAAGCUUGGAUCAAAAUCAGUGUGCUGUGGCAGUGUUUUUUGUAUACUUAUUUAAUUAAUUAUUUAGAGGCUUGAGUCACCCAGAGAAACCUGAAACCAUAGGUUAACCGAUCUAGCAAUUGAUGGUUUCGAAUAUGACGGAACAAGUCUCGUUCUAUGUUUAGACCAUAGUUUACUAUAUAGGUACUGUUUGUGCUAGUUUAAUUAAUUUCUUGGUAGAUAUAGUGGACCAUUCGCGUCUUAAACCAUUCGCGUGUUCCACUUUAAGAAAUGCUAAAGCGCAUUAAUUACGUUUAACAUUGGUGGGCUAAUACCAAAACGAACCUCGCCAAGAAUUUCUCAUUCACACUACGAAAAGCGACACAUAAAAGUAUCUUCUAGGAAACAUCUUCUCAGGUUAUAUAUAUAGAGGAUAUAUAUACUUUAGAAGCAUUUUAUAAUAUUCAAAUUUGGUGUUCUUGUAGCCAAUACUAGUAUAUAUGUAUAAGAUACGAAUAUGACUUUAAUUUGCACUUCAGACAAAUCUCUUGUCACGGCAACAUGCAUGUAGUCAAGUGUCAAAAUUACAAGCUUAUAAUAAGCCAUAUAUAUACUCUUAAUUAUUUUAUGAAUAAUUAAUAUCAUAAAUAAUUAGAGGAUAUAAAAACUGGGACAGCCAUGCUCAUGUAUGUGAUCGAUUUAGUGACUACUAUAACCCUUUCACAAUAAUUUUUAAAAAAUCAUCAAAUUAGUGAGCUAAUCAGCAAAUUAAAGAGUUCCGCUAUGAUGCUAUAUAUCAUUAGCACCAAGCACUUGGUGCUACUAAAAUUUUCACUGUUAAAUUUAUUCCUUUGACAAUUUUCACACCAUGGAUCAUACCAUUCAACUAAAUGUCCACUCAAUCUUAGAGAACUACUAUCAUCAUAACCGUACGUUUUUUAAUCUAAGGACCGAAAAUCAAAUAGCACCAAUAACUUGGUGCUAUAUAUUAAUUGUAUUCUAGCCUAGUUCCAGAUUGAAUAUUUAUAUGCUCAUGUAUUUCAUUAAGUAUAGAUUUUGUUCUAUUUAUCGCAGUAAUGGCUAGGUAAUAGCUAGACAUUGCCACUUAAAUAAUCAUAAAAUAUAUGGUAUCAAAGACUUGGCCUAGCACAAAUGGCAAAGGGCUUGGUGGUGGAUACUUGAAGUCUCAAGUUCGAAUCCUAGUUGAUUCACACUUUAUCUAAGCAUAUUUUUAAAUUAAAUAAAUUAAGCGUGCUAUCUAUCUCUCUCUCAAAAAAAAAAAAAAAAGACUCGGUCUAAACAUACUUUCCUUCUUCUUUUUUUUUUUGAAAGAUUUCCUUCUAUCUAAUGCGCCGUGUUUAUAUGUAGAGCUAUUUUCUUACUGUCCUUAAUUCCCAAAAUUAAUGUGUGUUUAAAACCAAUGAUCUAUGAAAUAUAAGUUCCCUAGUAUAUAUAUGUUAUGCUAUCAAAAGGAUAAGCAUGCAGUACGUGGGCAUUGUCGAACUAAAAGUCACAUAUUAUUCUUGCAGCAAGGAAGUGAAAUGCAUAAGCUUAUAGGCAUCAAAAGCAUAAGCUAGCUCACAAUAUGAAAGGAAGCUUAUGCUUCUGCUAUAGCGAAAAGCCUUGUCGUUUCGUUGAUUUAAUAUAUAAAACAAAGCUGUUAGAACAUCUUAGAAUAUUUUUGCUCAGUUUGAUUGGCAUUGACACACUUGAUUGAGUAACUGUUAGUUAAGAUACAUCAAGGUCGAACCUGAUUAUAACUUAAACUUUCGAAUGGAUUAGCUAGUCAUAUUUUUACAAUAUUUAAAAGACGUACAUGUUAUCAAUGCACAUGUUGCUCUAUCGAGAACUUUGGCUAGCUGCGUGCGUAAUCUCUGUCGAGCAAUUUUAAUCUUGCAUCACGACUACCUAGCUGAUCUUCAUUGUAGAUUUAAUGGAGUUUUAUUCAUAAUGAUCAUGGUCACAUCUCCUCUAGCUUAGAUCAAUUUAUUUUUAAGUAUAACAACAGUAAUUACAAGCAUGGGCUUUAUCAACGUGAGCCCGUUCGGCUAAGAAGUGUGCAAGCGCUUUUCGGAACAUAAAAAAUAUGUGAAUAUAUAUAUAUAUAAGAAAACCAAUUCUUUGUUAUGAUCAACAAUAUGAAUUCACACUCUAUAUAGUAAGACAAAACAAUUUUAUUCGAUUGGUACACAUAAUAUCAAGUACAUGAAAGAAUUAACUGCAUGCUUUAGGUAGGAAAAACUCAUCAAUGCUUCAACAAGGACUGUAUAUCUUUCCAAGAUUUUGUCGAAAAGAACAUAAUGGCGACGGAACCUAUAUAAGAAAUAAAUAAUUAAUGAACAAGAUAAGUGACGAGGAGUGCGACGAGCAUAAGCACGUAUGCAAUCCCUUGAUCGAUCGCUUUGCCAUCGAUCCCGUGAGGCGGCUUUGCGGUUGCUUCCCCAUAAGCAAGCUGCAUCAGUCCUGAGAAGAAAAACGUAGCAGCGAAGAACGCGUAUGCUCGAACGGAACUCAUCUUCGAUUUCUCUUGAAAGAAGCUAGUAAUUAAUGUACACAAGAAGCUAGAGAGCAAGGACCUAAACACAAUUUAUUGUGUGAGAGAGAGAGUGGAGAGAUUUAAAGUACAAGAAGAAGAAGAAGAAGAAGAAGAAGAAGAAGAAGAUGCUUGAAGGUGGUAGGAGAAGUUGGUUGGUUAAGAGAGAGACAUAGGGGGCAACUAUUUAUAGUUAGUUUUUAGGGUUUUUUCAUCUUUAAGUUAUUUAAGUAACAAAAAUUUUAAUGUAGCUUCGUGCAUGUAGAAUGUUCUCCUAUGUACGCCGCCUUUUUGGAUUGAUGGAAAGAGUCAAACGGUUUAAGGCCGUUAUUGAAAGUUAAUCUGCAGCUGUAGGUGAAAGGAGAAAAAGUAAAACUAAAAAUUAAGGGAAAAAAAAGUAAACCGAUGUAGGGACACAGUUAAUGGUUGAAACGUGUAGGGCAUGGCGAGGAGAGGGUUGACCGUAGACUAGACAACGCCCUAGUGAAUCUAAAGGAAAAAAAGGUUCAGUGGGGACUUUUAAUUGAGAAAUUCUAAUUUAUUGUCGUGCGUCAAUUUUAUCUUUAUUGAAAUAUUAUAAUUUUUUUUUAUGGUUUAAUUUUUAUUUUGGAAGAGCUUUUAGUGAUGAAAAAAAUCAAAUAAAUUUUUGAAUAAAGGUAAAACAAACAAGCGAUAGAGUGUCGAGAGAUCCCAAUAAAGUGUCGUUGGGGAGUUUCCUAUUGAAGUUUUAUUCGAAACGAAUGAAAGAAGGACAUGCACUACAAUGUAAUCUAGUUAGAUUCCGAAAGCCUAUUUGGUCCUGAUGGAUUAUCGGCAAUUUCAAAUAGAGCCUUAAACUUUGUUUGAGAUUGCAAGAAGUAUAUGUUACAUGCAAUAAAAAUAUGUGAUAGAAAAAUAUUUUACUUAUAUUCGUAAUAAGUUGCACGUUUUAAUUGCACCAUGUUAGUUAAUUCGAUGAUUCUAUCAAAAAAACACAGAACUAUGCAUUUAUAUGUUUUCGCCCCAAAUUUUUUUCUUGGAGACGUACGCUUUGCUUUCGAUGCUAAACAGGUUCUUAGUAUUCUUGAUAAAGAAUUAUAGAUGCGUGCAUCAGGUAAUUCCUAAUAUUAUAUAAUCAUUUAAGCAAUAGCAUUUUUUCGAGGAAAAAAAAAGGGUGUAGGAAUGUGGUUUUUGGUCACUAUAGCCCAAUAGCCUUAAUAGGGGAUGCCCGCAGAUUACAAUGGACACAAUCCUCUCCAUUUGAAAGCAAAUGCAAAUCCAAAUCUUGUAGUGUUGAAUAUAAAAAUAUUUAAAUACCGUUCUUUAAUAGUUUAAGUUUUUAGAGUACAACGGUUGUUUAACAUGGUAUCAGAGCAGGAGGUUCUGAGUUUGAGUCACGCCAGGCUCCCAGCAUAUUAAUUUUCUCCCAUUUAAUUUAAGACCACGUCAUGGACCGAUUAAAAAGUCUCGAGUCUAGAUGUGAGGGGGAGUGUUAAACAUAAAAGUAUUUAAACACCGUUAUCUAAUAGUUUAAGUUUUUAGAGUACAACAGUUGUUUAACAUGUAGUAAUUCACUGAGAAAGGUAAUCAAUCAAUUUGCUGUAAACAAAGAUAUAACACUGAAUCAACUUAAUUAGUGGGCAUAUAUAAACAGCGAAGCCAAUGUUCCUUAUAUUGUAUAUAAACAUCUACCAUUAUGCCCCAAAUGGUCCAUAAAGUUCACAAAAUAUAUGUGCAUGUACAGUAGCUCACGUCAGAAACAAUUAACAUGCUUAGAACAAACUGACCACAUAGAAUACGCAUAUCAAAUCUCACUGCAUGCGUUGCUUCGAGCCCAAAUCAAUGGAAUAGAUCGCAAGUCACAUUUCCAUGUUUGGAUGGAUCAUAGUAAAUAAAAUAGUAACUUAAUUAAUAGAGAGUUACAAGAGAUGUUUACACUUAUUAAGCUUCCAAAUCAGAAAAAGAAAAAAGGAACAUAUAUUACUAUCAGAAUACAUUUAUGCUUAACAAGUCACGGUUGGCCUUAUUCAAAUAAUGAACCAAAAAAAAAAAGAGAGAGAGAGAAAAAUGAAAUCCAAAUAGUCAUCAUCAAUUAAUGAGAAAGGUAGGCGACGAUAAGUGCGACAAUCAUAAGAAGAUAAGCUAUCCCUUGGUCGAUUGCCUUGCCGUCGCUCGUCGGGGACGGCGCCACUGCUUCGCCAGUCGAUAGUUGCAUAAACCCCGACACGAAAACGGUGACGAGGAUCACACAAUAAACUCGGGUUGUAUUCAUCUUUAUACUUUUAAGUUCUGGAAUUUUAAGUUAAGUUUGCUCAAAAUUAAUGUGUGUAGAUGAACUAGGAAAAUGCAUGCAGUAGCUAAUGAGUAAAGAGGAAGAGAUAGAAUAGGAUGAAGGGAGAGCUGUGUGUGGGUUUGCUUUAUAUAGAGGUGUUCAUAUAGUUUACCUCGAAAUAUUUUAAUUAGUUUCUAAACUUUCAAAUUAAUAUAUCUACUAUAUUUGGCUUAACUUGUCAUUAAAAGGAAAGAUGAGUUACAAUAUUGGGGUACGUAGAACAGCUGAACAGGGUCCCUAGCUCGAUGCAUUUUGCCAAAAUAUAUUUCACCUUAUUUAAUUUUUUAUUAGGGGCACUUGUGCGUGUUUGACUCGUUUUGACUUACCCAUAACGUACGUGGAGCAUAUGUCACCCAGACACGUGAGCCGUGACGAACACAAAAACCGGCCUACAAGCGCUUGGUCUUUGUAUGGCGACUUAAAAUUAAAAUAUUAGAUUAGGUAUCCAAUUAGCAAUUGAUUUAUUGAUUAGGUCAUCUCCAAUUUUGGAUUUUUACUUCUAUUUUUUACCGGAAUGUAAGAAUCGGUCUAUAUUUGUCGAAGAAAUAAUAGUUAAAAAAGGUACAAAUUAAUAGUCCUUAACGCACGUCUACAUGAGCCCAAGUUAAUACUCCAGCAAAAACCCACGAAACUAAAUUAAGCCUCUAUAUAAGCAAACAUCUCUAGAGCUCUCCCUCCAUAGAAUUAUUCCUACCUCUUCCUCUUUACUUGCUCUCAACAAAUUAGAAAACUAGACAAAGAUUUACAUAAUCCAAAUAUCUAGUUUUUUGAUUUUUGACUUUUUCUUUGUGGAAAAAUGAAUUCAAUUCGAGUUUAUGCCAUGAUCUUCGUCACAUUUUUCGUUUCGGGGUUGAUGCAACUAACAGCCGGCGAAGCUGUAGCGCCGUCUCCGGCGAGCGAUGGAAAGGAGAUCGACCAAGGAAUAGCUUACGUACUUAUGAUUGUAGCCCUCCUUGUCACCUAUCUCGUUUAUUAAUGGGUUGGUUCUUAUGGAUUUGUUCUUUUUGGUUCUUUGAGUAUUAAUAAUUCUUUAAAUAAGGAGAAUGGUGUCUUUGUAAAGCAUCCAACAAUAGAAGCAUGAAACGAGCGUCUUUUUUCUAUUUUCCAUUUGUUUAUUUUACAGCAUUAAUGUGAAAGUGUAACCAUCUUUUCACAUAAUGGAAUUUUUCUGCAUGCGCCUAAAACUACUGCUUAGUUCAAAUUACUCAAUUGUUGCAUGAAAGUUUCAACAUUGUUCUGUUGCAACCAAAUCAAACAAUUUAGCAACAUUGUUUGUUCUCAAAAAAGUAACAGCAACACUGUGUAAAAUAAACAUACCAACAACUCAAGUAGCACUUUCUGAAAAAAGAAAGAAAAAAGCAGCCGAGUAAAACUGGCUUUCAGAUAACCAAAUUGAGACAGUAAACAGUUGCCCCACCGUCGCCUUGCAUUUCACAGCAUAUAGUGGAGAUUAAAAGUUCUCGAAAACAAACAAAAAUUUAGCAAACAUAUGCACGAUGAAGAUUAUUGGGGAUGCGAAGGCUGGGAAGGAACCGAUUGUGGAGCUGCGUAAUCAUAGCCAGCAUAAUUAACUGGAUAGUAUUGUUGAGAAACUGCUGCCGGAUUUUGUACAUAAGAGGCUGCGCCAUAUGCAGGUGCGGGUGCAACCUGAGGUGGAUAUUUGUAUGAAGAGGACGGUCCACGAGGUCCAGUUGAUGGUCUGCGAUGACCGUACGAACCAUAAGCUGAAUUGGAACUUCGGCUUCUUUUGGCAGCACGGAAAGAGGAGACCCCGGCACUAGAAGAAGCAGCUCGCCUCCGCUUAACUGAAGGUGGCUUGGGUGCUGUGGCUUUUUUCCUGUCCGCCUUAGCUUUCUCCAUUUGGAAGAGCUUAAUCUUUAGGGCAUUAGUGCUAAAUUGUGACUCGAGCUUGCAGUUUUGGACGCAGUUGAUCACAGCUUUAAUGGCGUUGUACUCUAUAUUGCUAGCCUCUUCCUGGAAAAAGCAAAAAAAACUUUUUUAUGAAGCAUACGAUCAGAAUAAAAGAAGAGCAAAUAAAUGUGGAAUUUCUUUACGCCACUUAGUGCUUUAACUAAGGAGAGUCAUCGUGAAAAAAGAAAAGGAAUACUGAAAAGAAAUCCAGCCUCAUCUAUACGACUACCCUCUAUUCCACAUACAUAUUGCACAAUGCAGGCACUUGAGAAACGAGGCAGGUAAAGAUGAAAAUCAACCAGAGGAAACAGUACCCACAAACAAGAUAUUGUUUUACUUCGGUGUGUAUAGGCAUUUGGAUAGCUAGAUUCAUAAAAAAUUGUAAAUAGUAGAGUAAUGUGUCAGAUUGAAAUAAUACAGAUCUGCCAAAGUGAUGCAUAAGAAAUUAAGAGUGACAUCGACCGUCCCUAGAGCAAGUGGCAAAGGGCUUGGUGGUUGGUACCCGAGACCCAAGUUCGAAUCCUAGUUGAUUCACAUUUCUAGCUAAGUUUAUUUCUAAAUGAAAUAAACGAAGCGGGUAGCGUGCUACCUAUUUCUCAAAAAAAAAAAAGAAAAAAAAAAGAAAAAAAAAUAAGAGUGACAUUAGAAGAAGAGAAGUGUGUAAAGAUAUAUAGAAGAAUCAAUAAAAAGAUUUGCAUGAAUUGCAACGUAAACUACAUGUAUUAUUACACGAAAUUUAAAUAGAACUCAUCGCAAGAAUAAUUAUGAUCGGUCUAGAUAUCAAACUAUGGAAAGUUUUAUCAAGUGUUGUUUCCUGAAUUUGAUGGCAUAUCAUUCCAAACUUUAUGCAUCAUUCAGUGCCACAUUCAGUAAGUAAAGUGCGUAGAUCACCAGUUACCCACCAAAAAAAAAAAAAAUCAGUAAAGAUUAAACAUAUAUCACGAAUCCAAAAUAUUUACAGUAAAGAGUCAUGCCAUGAAUGAAACAAGAUGACAAUUGAGUUGACAAACAAACAUAAUCCAAUCAUACCGUAGCAGCAUAGGAACGGUUCCCAUUUUUCAACAUGGCAUGAGCUUUUUUUCUGGAGGCGUGGAGGUAAGACUUGAGAAGAGAGACGGGGGGAAAUUGUUCGGUCAAACCACAGUCCGUAACAAUAUAUACAGCCUCUAUGUCUUUCCCAGUCUUUAACAGGUCGUCAACAAGCUCUGCAGGUCCAUCAACAAGCAUUUGUUAGUUUAAAAGUGUCGCAGAUACUAUCUCAAUGUACGCUCCAAAUUAAUCUCAUAUGACGGCAACUAGAAUUUCAAUCUUCGAGUAUGUUUGCACUGUUGACCAUUGGCACCAUAUUAAAUCAGCUGCCUGCUUGACUCAAAACUACAGUGAACUACUACAUUAAAGAACAUCAACUGAGAGUUGCCAUCAGAAGGUACUUUUAAAGUAUCAACGUUAAGAGAGAUAUCUCUGUUCUUUGAAACUGAAGGGGAAUGCUUAAGGUGGUGUUUGAACUUUCCAAAUCUAAAAAAGGGUCCGCAUACUCUAAAUAUCUCCUGCAGGCUAGUGGCACUUAAUAUGUGUGAACAACUGCUAAGGGUUUGAGCUUCUUCGACGCAGAGAAUCAGUUUUGACAUGGGGAUUGAUUUGUUCGUGACAGGAAGGAAGAACGGAAAUUUCGAUUAGAUAUAGACAGAUACUAUAUCACUUGGAAGUGCCGGCGAAGUUUUUCUUUUUCUUCUUCAUAUAUUUAGAUAAUGCAUUUUUAGUGUUCAUAUACAUAAAUUCAUCUGGUAUGUGUCAAAUAUGGAGCACUUGUGUGGCAAAGAUAAUAAAUUUCAACAGGGGUAUAAUAACAAUAACCAAUUUGUUUUUCUCUUCUUCAAACCAAUUCUUAUCCAAAUAGAGCGAUUGAAUAAAAUCAAAGCUUUUACCUCCAAGUAUCUUUCCAAAUCCUAGCAUCGGAGCGAGCCUCGCAAUCUCCUUCCUCUGAGCGUUCUCCAGGAACACCUUCCUCAAGAACUCUUCUUCGAACCUCGAGCUCAGCCCGAACGCGGCGACCAUCUGAAGGAAUAUCUGCGCGGCCCGGCCCGACCCUUCUUCCCCUUCCGCCGCGCCCUCCGCGUCUCCCUUUAUAACAAGCUUCUCCUUCCACUCCUCGACCACCGCCGCCGCCCUCUCCUUCAUGCUCUCCGACACCUCCGGCGCCUUCUUCCCAUCCGAAUCGAACAGAGUCAUCACCAGCAUCCCGAACACCCACUUCGGAUCGUGCCCACCGCCUCCGCCGCCGCCGCCGCCGCCGCUGGAGAGUUGCCCUAGGUAGUCCCCUACGGCGUCCACAACCACGCGCGCCGGGUCCACCGACCCCGCCACGGCCUCACCGAUCUCGAAGCGGAGGACGCCGAGGUCGCGGCGGCGGGAGACCAUGAAGCGCCAGAGCCCGGCGGAGUCCAUGCGGCGGCAGAACCACCGGAGGAUCCCGCGGAUGUCGGUGGGGGGCGGCGCAGCCGCGGCGGCGGCGGCGGAGGCGGCGGCGGGGUCCUCGAUCUCGGCGACGGCGGCGUCGCGGCGCUCCUUGAUGAGGGCGGCGGCGGCGGCCUCGCGGUCGGGGACGGAGGCCUCGCGGGAGGAGAGGGUUUCUAGGGUUUGCUUGGUGGUGGAGUCGAUGGAUUGGAGAUCAGCGUCGAGGGCUUGGGACCGAUCGGCUAGGGUUUGGCGGAGGGAGGAGAAGUGGUCAGAGAGGCUCUUCCACAGGAGGGUGCAGUUGGUGAUUAGGGUUUUCUGAGCUUCUAGGUCUUCGAGAACCUUCUCGAUUGGGUCGGAGGAGGCGACGUCGAUCGCCAUGGCAGAGCUUAGUUACCAGAUAGAGAAGAGACUGUUCUCACACACACACACAGAGGGCCAGUGGAGAUGUAAAAGGAGUAGUAGUGUUUGGAGGCCCAUUUAUGGAUGGGCCCAAAUAGGCCAAAUAUUUUAGUAGGCCGUGCUUGUGGCCUUAGUUUCUUAGUGGAGAGACUUGUACUGCAAAAAAGUAGGACUGGUUCUUGGACCAUGAUUGGGGACACCAUCGUCCUCCAAAUCCUCAUUCUCCAUAUUCUGAGUUAUUCUGCGCGCCAUUACUUAGGAUCUGUUUGGUUCAGCUUUAGUGGGGCACCCAACCGCGAUACAACAUGGACCUGAGAAGCUCCACGCGAAGCGUCUCGUGUCACCUCACUGCUUGUACUAGUACUAAGACGCAGAAGCCGAAUCAAAUGAGAAAUUCUACACUGUCACGCUUGCACCACAUUUUUAAUAACAAAUCAAUCACAUUUCUUCUUUUCAAACAAAAAUACAAUAAAAAUAUUUUUUUAUAAUCAUGAUGAGACAUAUAUAUUUAAAAGGAGAUAUUUGAUUGGUUUGUGACGCCACGUCACCAAUAUAUCCGGUGCAUUCUAAAAUUUCUCGAGUCAAACAGGAUCUUCUUAGCU